CACGUGGUAUCCUCUUCAUCUUGAAAGAGUGAAGUGGUCAUACUCUUUCCUCCGAGUCCAUCGUGGCCAUGCACUUCUGGCUCAUUGGGCUGAGUGAAAGGAUUCCCUUCUGCUUCAAAUCAUAGAGAGAUAUGCCAUGGUCAGCCUCUUUAAUUUGAAGGAUUGAAGUACUCAAAUCCAUUUCUUUGCAUCCAUCUUAGUCCUGCUUCCAUGUCUCAUGGUUAACCAGGAAGAUCAAGCUUCCAUCCAUGAGAUCAGCAUCUGCAGGGUUAUGACUCCACCCUUCCUUGGCAUAGGAAAGCGAUCAUUAAGCCACAUGUCGGAUGACAGAAGUCGUCAUUCAGGUUAUCUUGAGAACUAGGGAAGUUGGAAUUCUAAUUAUUGCAUAUGGUUCUUGAUGUUUAGCCAAUAUACUAUAGGAUUUUAAGCAUCAUGCCCAUGUGCAUUGUGGUUUUUUAUCAGCUAUAUGGUUUACCAAACUGAGGGAUUGAUUAUAGUCAUAAGUACCCUUUUCCCAUUAAUUUCUUGCAUGUGCUUUGCUGAGAUUAUGUUUUUGACAGUGCUAAUCAGGGCAAACCAACAAACAGCUUUAUGUUAACUUUUACAAACUGCCACAUUUUCAGGUUGAACGAUCAGACAUAAAUCUUGGUGAAACUAGAAGUAAUACAACCUGUGCUGUGGAGAUAAAAGAAAGGGCAGCAGCACUGGUGGCUGCAGAAAUUGAGGCAUGUAGAGACAAUAGAACCCCCGAGAUACCUCUGCAUAAGAAAGUCCAGAAAGAGUGGGCUUGUGCUGUAUGCCAGUUCACAACCCAAAGUGAAGUGACCUUCAAUUCCCACCUUCAAGGGAAGAGACAUCAGGCCACUUCUGAGCAGUUGAGAGCCAAAAACCAGGCAACCAAAACCAAUUGUUCCCCAUCUGCUUCAAAGGCCAAGAAAUCUGAUCAGUCCACCAAAGAGGAGCAACCAAAGUGUCCUUCCAACAAUCUGAAUUCCAAAAACAAUGGAAUCUCAGCUGCUUCAACAGUGAAGAAACCUGACGAGACCAAAGAUGAUGAGCAACAAAAGUGUGCAUCCAGCAAUGGACCAAACCAGAAGAAUAACAAAAAGCAAGAGGAGAAGGUGCUAGUUCUUGAGACCAAUGAGCAAGGCCAUCAGAAUAAUUUUGAUCCACGAUCCCACAUUUAUUUUGGGUCUCACAAGUUUCAAAUUUGCAGAAAAAUGAAAGAUGUUUGAGAGAAAAUUAAAUCAUAUUGCACUACUGUUAGGAAAAAUAUGGCUGAAUCCAAUUGCUUUUCUUCUCCAAGUCUAUUAAAAAUAUAAUUUUUUCUCCAUUCCUGACAAAAUUUAAAUUUUUUCCUUAAAAAAAAAAAAAUUAAGUUUGAUCACCUAACACAUCUUUCUAAACUCAAUCUCAACUUGAAAAAUCAAACCUUAAUGGAUGGACUAUAGAAAUAGUGAGAAAACACUUCUGGGGUUUUUUUUUUCUUCCAACAUCAAAUUUUUCUAUAUAUGGGAUUUCACAUGCAAAAGCAGGAGUAGAUUUGCUUGUGUUUGAUGUAUGUAUUAGAAAAAUUUGUCCCUUCUGGGAUGUUUAAUACUUUUCUAUUCUUUUAUAUGCAUGUUUAGCUAGAAGAUAUAGAAUCGAUACCAUUCCUUAAAAGUGAUAGCCACAACUGUGAUAAUUAAACACCAAAGAAUGUGAAGAUCUAUAUAUUCUUUUUUUUUUCCUCUCUCUUUCAAUAAUGAAGCUAAGAUGUGUUGUAAGCAUCAAAUGCAUUGUCUCUGCUUGAAUAUAUACAAAGCCAAGGACCACAAGAUGGAUAGAUAUGGGGACGCACAAAACUUCUCAAACAUGAUUAUAUUAAUCAAGAAUUCAACUAAGCUUAAAUUCAAGAUGUUGAUUUCUAGCAUCUCUGGUGCUAUAGGAUGACUAUUGAUCCUGUACUGUUAUGUGCCCUACUGAUAUAUUCUUCGGGUUGUUAUGUAUAAAUAAAAUUUUUGGGAAAGUUUGCUUGGUGGUUACACUAUCACUAUUUAGGCCAGUAAAAAUUGGAAGCCUUUGUAAAAAACUGAUGGUCCAAGAGCUAUUCUACUUCAUCAUCCAUGUAAUAUGACGAUACAAAUUUGACUAAAUGCAGCUAUAGAAGGCUUAGGACCAUAAACCAAGCCUAGUCGAUGUCACUCACCUAAAUUUAUGCAUAAAGCUUUUGGAUGGCUCAGAGUUAUAUUUAAUUACUGUUAUGUUCGCAACUAUAUUUUCAUUGGAUUUAUAGUCCAGCUUGAGAACUAGUCCUCCAUUGCACAUAAUGUCCACACAAGGCCACAGUGCCCGCUCAAAGGCCAUAGCGCUACUCAAGGAUAUAGUGCUUACUCAAGGCCAUAGAGCCCACCUAAGGCUAACGACCCAAAAGGAGAAAAAGGUUGGUUCCACGUACUCUAAUAUUUACUAGAAAAGGUUCUUCCUAUUAAAGAACAAAAAAUUGCAUUCCCUUGUGACCAAUCCAAACAGUAGACCACUGACUUGUAUAAGGCAUUAUUCACCAUGCAAGCACUUUUUCAGCAACCUACCAUCUGGCAUGAACCAUUUUGGAUUGAUUCACAAAGCAAUGGUGUUAUAUUAAGCAUAUUCAAUAUAGAACCAAAUUGUGCCUCCUUAGAUUAACUAAAAUAUUUCCAUUGCAAGAUGUGCAGAUAGGCAUAUGAUCAUGAAGUAAUUUCCUGAUGAUAAUACCCCACAAAAUAUUUCUUUUUCUCACUGAUCUCUCCUAGAUUUUCAGUUCACCCAUCCAUGGCGCCUGACUAAAAAUGGGGGCAUUUUGGAUACCCCGAGCAGUAAGUUAGCCUGGUAGGCAUCCCGUUGCAAGCAAAGUCAACCCGAGCGGUCCAUUUGACCAAAGCUUAUCCAGGCAGUAAGCGUCCAUAUACAGCUAACUGUUAUGCACCAUCAACAGGUUGAGGUUACAAGAUUAAAGAGUCAUAAUGGCCAAAUGGAAGUUACACGACUCGGCCUAUAUAAUAACAGUAUGACAAAAAAUGCAGGUAUGAAGAACUAUCACUGAAAAAAUUUAUUCCUAAAAAUCCUUUAAGCUCCUUUAAGCUAACUUGGGCAUUGGAGAGGUCUCUCCGAAGCACACUCGAGCUUACCUUUUUGUAAGACAUCGAGAACAAGAGGCAUUGAAGUGAUUGUCCGGAGGGUUGAACUUGGUCGGGAACCAACAAUACACACUAUUCAAAAAUAGGGAUCAUAUUAAAUUAUUAAUGCAACCAUAGGAAGCAAUUGAGGACAAGGGUGUUAUUUGAUUAAAAGGGUAAUUGAAAACCUAAAUUUUGAAAUUUAACCCUCCAUUCUAUUUGGCCUUAUGUGAACAAAAAUGCCUUCAUUAUUUUCUUGUAAAAAUAACUCACCCAUUUAAACCUUACAUGAAAAUACUUAAAAUGGUAAAUGAUAUGUUAAAAAUUGAUUAUUUUUCAAAUAAAACAUAAGAAGGGUCAAAUUCAUGAAAGGAUUAUUUCAUCCCUUUUAAUCAAUUAAUUCGAUUUAUUUCUUUUUAUUUUUUUUCUCUCCAUGUUAAUUUUCACAUCACCCAACAACACCACUCUUAAUUCACACAAGUUUGAAGUUUUUGAAUGAGAUAUAUUCGUAAUUAUAUUGUAAUUGUGUUAUAAUAACCAUUUCGUACUUGGAUUUGUUCUUUCAGUCCAUUUAACCUUUUUGUUUAUUCAUGUCAAAACAAUGUACUUAUAAUCGAAUCCAUUUAUGACAUGUUGAUCUUAUAUAAAUUUAUUAAUUUUAUAUAUUUAAAAAUUAUAAAAAUUAAAUAUACUUUUUCAAUUAUGAAUAUCAUAUUACUAAAAUAUUAAAUAACAAAUUAACUUGAAAUGCUAUAUAUUUCAUUAAUUAUUUUAUAAUUAAAACAUUAAAUGAAAUAAUAAACAAGUAUAAAAUAGAAAAUUCUAUCUUAGUUAGAAAUUAUAAACUGUUAUUGAGACAUAUAAGUAUUAAAAUUCUACCCAUUUCACUACCAAACAACUUAUGUUUUUAGUCAUAAUUUAACCUUAUGAUGAACACUUAAAUAAAAUUUGUCAUCUUUUUCUAUUGAUUUAUAUUUAUUUAUUUAAAAAUUUUGUCUGGCAUAAACUAUCAUCUCACAAAAUCAUCAUUGAUGAGUAGGCUAUGCCCCAGUGUAAGCAUCUCCAAAUCAAACAUCAAUGAGAGGAGUACAACCAAUCAUACAUCAUCUUAUCAAAAUGAAUCUCCGCUUUUCAAAGUCAUCGUGGUAACGUGAAGAGAGUAUUUGACCUCCUCUAAAGAAAAAACAUGUCUUGAUGUGAAAAAGAUCAAGCAAAGUGGUAUGCCUCAACAAAAAUGUGCUCAAACAUGAUCAUGCCCCGAUGUAAGUUAGUAUCUCUAAGAUCAAUCGCCAAUGAAAAGGUUAUUCCCCAGUAUAGGGCAAACUCUGAAAUGACUAAACUCCGUUGCAAGCUCUCAUAAGUGUCUGUGUCAUGAUCCAAUCAUCGCAAAAAUUUGUCAACAAUGAUGAGAAGGCUAUGCUCCUAUAAUCACAUCAAAGAAAUCACUCGGUCAUAUUACUCCAAUGUGAAAGAAAUCUAAUCACCUCCAAGGAACAGCUAUGCCUCAAAACCAUCAUCGACUGAGAGGGGGAUGCCCCUGAUCCAAUCACCACCCUAACUAACGUACCCAUCAUGAGGAACACUUGUUUGAGCUCCAUAAUGGGGAUCAACCAUUAGAUGAACAAGAUUCGAAUAUUACUUGCUCCCCAUUUCAACCAAUGAAUGAUGUACCUGGAAACCUUGUAGACAACCAUAGUUUUCAGCCUUCUUCCUCGCGAUCAUCUAGAACAGAGUCGGUAAGCUUCACUCAUUUCUUAUAAUGGACCUUGACCCACAACGUCGAACUACCUGUAUGCAAAAUUAUCCGUCCAGAAAACCCAUCCAUACAAUUCAGGUUCAAAACCCACAAGAACCACCCUAUGAAUAAACUAAUUAUAGCUGGCUUCGUUGCAAUAGGCAUUAACUUUCUUAUGCUGACAGUCCUAGCAUCAUUUACCAAAGGAUCAACAACUUUUCCAUGUCAGAGAACAUUAUCAAUCACAAUGACACCCCUGGUCCUCACUAGUUGCGAUAGCAAUUUAAAGUAUUCUUGAUUCAAAGGGUAAACAAAACAAAAAAGAAAACCCUAAGUGUGACUCCUUAUUUGAAAAAUGUGGUUUAUGAAAAACCGGAUCGAGCUUAGGGGUCAGGUUACUUAUCGGGAAGGUACAAAAAAAACCGUAGCACCCCUCUAAGUCCCUAAAAUGGGUCUCUAUUGAUAAAAUGAAGCAAUCAUGGCAAUUGGUAAGGAAAUCAUUGAGUAUCAACAUGAUCACACAUUGAGAGUUAAAGCAUGCAUGAGGAAUGGUCAAAGUGAGAAAGGAUGCGUACCUUAGCAACGAGUCCCAAUGCGCUAUCAAGAAAUUGGGUUAGUGCACAAUCAAUAAAUAUAAAAUAUAACACACAUGCAUCACUAAAUAGGGUAAUAAAUCCCCGAUGACAAACCUUGCACUUCACUCAGGUUUAUUUCUACUUCUCUGAUGUUGGGCCCCACCAAAGCUCAUUUUAUUUUGCAUGAAUCAACUCCAAUAACUCCAUUAUUCGGAAUUACGAAAUUUAAUUCUUGCUUAUUUUAAAGCAUUUUAAAAAUAGAGGAGAUAUGAGAAUUGCUCGCCAGAAAAGAAGAUGGCGGCAAAAUUUUAAUGAAAAACGAGUUUUUGGAACCUAAGAAAAAUGUUAAGGAUGGAAAAUUUUGGAGGUUUGAAAUUAAUUAAAAAUUAGAAUUGAGGAAUUUAUUUACAAAAUGGGGUUUAGGAAAAUUAUUUUCAAAAAAAAAAAAUGAUGAAAUGAGAGAUGGCACGUGACACAAGGGUGGCCAUGCUGAAGGCGUUCUCUUCUGGCCCAAGCUGGAAAUGCACUCCAAUUAUCCUUCUUUUCUGGUAUAACACCUUCAUCAAAAUAAAUAGCUUUUGCACCAUACUCUGAUAGACAAGGACCAAUAACAAUGCCUAUAUUUGCCUUAAGUAGACAAAGUAAGUCACCCAUUGAACCUCCAAUAUAAAUUGUCAAGUGCUCUGUGUCAUUACUGCAUCCCUCCUUCAAGAUGUCCUUAGAAACCUAAAGCUUUUCCACGACAUACUCCAUCUUCUUAAUGAUUUCACCCGUGGAAAUGGAUUCUUCACAAGCCAACUCAUUUGAAUAUACUCUCAAAACACCCAUAUCACCUGAUGAAAAUGCUGAUCUAACGAAAUCGCCACACCAACAGUAUGAAAGUCCAUGAACAUCUGCUUUCAGAUUAUUAUUUUUAAGAAUCUUUUGGAAGAAACCUGUGCAACCAUCUUGAAGAAUUAGACCUUGACCAACCUGUUUUAUAUCAUCUGAAUUUAAACCCUUCAAUACUCCAGACUGAGUCACUCUUGAAUCUGCCUUUUCCUCAAAAUCAGAAAGUUGCUCAAGUGCUUUACAUAAGCCUUCAUAAUUGAAUUUUUCCACUGUUUCACUGGGGACGAUGCUUCCCAUGCAUUUUUCAAGCUCUUCAGUAUGCUGGGUAGAUAGAACACCCCAUGUGUGUGUCCAGAUCACCAUGAGUGACCAUUUGAACCUUGACGAAUGAGAGAGUACAUAACAUUUAAGCACACAGGACAUAUAUUAACAUUCUCCAUUAGCUUCUCUUUGCCUUUGUCCACCUCUUGACCUCCCAUGCAGCCAACUGUGAAGACCACGUCCAGGUGCAGUCACGUGGUGACACAUCUCAUGGUCUUCCUCAUCCAAUAAAUCACAUGCUCUGUUAAAUCUGCUACCCGAAUGGAUACCUCCUAUCCAUCAACCUGAAUAUACUCCGAGCUUUCUUCAUAAAACCCAAGAAACUCCAGAAGGCAUCAUGGUUCUCCUCCAUCAUUGAAAUGAUUAGGGAUAGUAAAUCACUCAUCCCUUAGCAAUAUCCCAUUUUUAAACCAUAGGGUGCGUAGGCUUCUAGAAUAGUAGCAAAGUGAGCAACACGGAAAAUCUUGCGUGGAUCCAAGUUCCAUGAUGGUGAUCGUAGCCUCACCUUUGAAAUCACAAGACCCAGAACCCAUUCGUUCUUCCUGGUAAUAACUAUCAGAUGCAUAGGAGGCAGGGUUCUUCAGAUUGUUGAUUUGGUAAAAGCCUCUUCUGGUUGAACCCCUGAAUGAUUCACUUUUCUCAGUCCGCAAACCUAGUUCAGAACAGCCCGCAAGAUCAGAACCUUAACCUAGGCGUGGAGAUCCAGUGUUGUAUAACGCCUCAAUUGUCGGAAGCAGCCAUGGCCCAAACAAUGAUAUAAUGGUCAGCAAGUUGUCCCCAAGGACCAUGACAGUGAUGAGCAUUUCCGGGCAGCGCGUCACCACGUUCCACGUCGCGACGGUAAUGGCUAUGGACUGAGUGUCAUGGUCAGGGAGCUUGAUGAAGCAGGUGAAAAUCUGGUGUUUUAGAUUCUGAGGCAAUGACUGCUUGAUCGGUCGGAUUCUAGUACCGGCGUUACAUUGGGGAGGCAAUCUUAAAGUUCCAACGGAGGUAGUAGUGGACUAAUAUUCCUCAAUAACCAAACUUGAGUUUCUCACUUUCCGCUUCUCAAGGCAUUCACCUGAAACGCUUCAGGCGCCCAAACCCUUUCUGCUCAUCAGUAUAAUCACGCGCAUGAAAGUCUUAACUGCCUUCUAAACUUCACAACUUCAUCUUGCAUCUGGGUCAUCGUCGGCACGAACUUAUCACCUGAUUCAGUUAAUAUCCCCAUAUAACAAGUUCCAAUGAAGUCGCAACUUUGCAUCUUCUUUUCUGCGAUUACUUUGAUUCUCAAAGCCGAUUACUUGUUGCAGUCCAUAGGAGAUUCAAUAAUCAAACAUCAUGCACAAGCAAAAAGGCAACAAAAUACAUCGGCAUGUGGCCCAUACACCCUCCAAAAUCUUCACUCAUUUAGUAAGUUUUAGAUUCAAAAGAGUUAGCCUUCUGGUGAGCAACCCGAUACCCAUAACGAAUGAUGUAUCUGAAACACCUUUCCCACGUGGCCCUUGAAGGAUUCACUAGAAGGUGACCAUGCAUAGUAGGUCUUCACUCGCAGGAGAAUGAGAAGGAAAUAAACCUAAAGGGGGGUUGACAGCGUAGUCUAGAAGGUGAUGAGCUGAGCGGGUGGGGGUAUUAGGGUGGUCAAGUUCAGUGGGUAUGAAGGGUGGAAAGAUGGCAUGAUAGAGGAAUAAGCAGCUGAUAGUGGGUGCGAUGAUAUAAGGUAGGUUGACUAUGGAGAGUAUGGCAUUAAAGGAUGAAGACUUAGAGAGAGAGAGGUGGGUUUAAGGGUAUGGUGAGAUGGAGGGUUGAGGGUGAUAGGCUUGGAUAGUUGCAUGAGGAGGAUGAAAGGUGGGUAUGGAAAAUGUGCAUGGGUAGGAAAUGGGUAUAACAAUGGGUGUGAAUAUUGAGAGGUAGUGAAAUGAAGGCAGCCUUGCUCGUAUGGAUCAGUGUCGGAUUGAGUUAAGAAUGGUGAGAGAAAGGGAUUCGAUGAAUAUUGAAUGAUGGAAAAUGGUGAUUGGUUAGAUAGGGAUUUGUGGUCGAAUGGAAAUAGGAGACAUGAACAUAGAGAUGAGUGUGAUGGAUGAUAGUGGGCAUGAAGGGUAUUGGAUUUGUUCAUGGGUAUAGUGGUUAAAAGAGUGGUGAGAAGAAAAAAAAAUGGCCAUGUAAAUAGCAAUUAUACAUGUGGGCCCGUGAUUGCAAACGGGACUGCAUUGUUGCAUCUCAUGCUGAACCCUCACCUCCUUCUAGGAUCAUUUUCUGCAUCAAAGCUAGAUAAACUUAGAUGGUAUUUCCUGCCAAUUUUGGAUGCCCCCCACUUUGGAAAUAUUUCCUUUUCACCCAUCAGAAUAUGCUUAUCAGGUGUACUUGACUCAGGUUCAUUCCCAUAUUGCCUCUCUGAUUUAUGAUCUUCAAAGGUUUUGCAUGAAGGAAGCCUUUCACUGCAUUCCCCUUCAUCCACCAGACCUUCAGAGCAUCGUUUCCAACAAAAGCAACCUUGACUCUUCUAGUCCCAUCAGAAAAAAGUCUGAAUAUCCUCAGUUUAUGUCAUCCCUUGAUGCCCAACUCAGAAAUGAUCCAAAAAACAGUCAUCUCCCAUAUUUGGCUUCCCAGAAACACCUCGACUCAGAUGGCCAGUCCAAAUGUGAUACCCAACAUUCUAAAAAUGCUAAAAACAGAGGAGAUGAUGAAGAAAAACAGAGCAUGUAUAAAAGAAAAAAAAAAGGACUGUUAAAUCUCACUCCAUUCCAUAAAUGCUAAUGGGGUGGAUAUGGUGGAAUCAAAAGGAAGCAAGAGCGUGAUCUUCAAAAUCAAAAGCAAUGAUGGAUCCAUAUUCAAAACGUUCCAGAAUAGAGAAAGACACAAAUAAGGAGCAGGGUUUUUUUUUGUUACUGGCAGGAAGAUAUUUUUUCUAGAGAGUAACUAGAGAGAAAAAUAGGAAGAAAAGGGAAGAGCAUAGAAGACAUCUACAUAGGAGAGUAUUCAUUGUUGUGAGGAGUAGUAGAGAGCUUAGGAGGAGUUACAAAGAGAGUGAGUUUGGUUAGAGGAGGAAGUUUUGUUGGUUUUUCAGAAAGGAUUCUAGCUUGAGUGAGAGCCAUUCUAGAGAGGGUUAGAGAGGAGAAAGGUGUGUUUUGAGCAGCAAAGACACGAAGCAAAAUAGAGCAGCCAGGAAAGAGAAGCAGAAAAUCAAAAUUACUAAAAAAUUAGUGAAAGCUGUGAAAUUUCAUAUUGUUACUAAUUAUUAUAAUUUUUUUUUGUAUUUUCAAUAUUUCAACCAAUAUUUUAUAUAAUUAAAUUUAAAUUAUAAGAAUUAUAUUAUUAAUACACAUAACUAUCUUAAUGUUUUAACAAUGUAUACUUAUUUAAAUUUAUUUCAAUUUUUUUAUUUUUUUAUAAAUAUCUAAUUAGACUUAUAAUUCAUUGAAAUUAUUCAUUUUUUUUUUACUUCAUAAACCAAUUAUAUUACUUUUUGUAUUUUCAAUAUUCAUUUGGAAAAAAUAAUUUCAAUUUAAAAUAAAAUAAAUUAAUUAACUCUCAAUUUAUAAAUUGUGUCAUUGAAUUAUUUUUUAUUUAUAAUAUUUAGUUUAUUUUAAAUUUAAUUUUUUUUCUUCACCUUUUGGUUUAUCACUUUAUAUUAAAAAAUAAAAUAAAAUUGAAUUUCUUUUAAUUUAUAUUUUCACAAAUUAUUCAAUAUUUUUUUAAUUUUUAUAAAAUAAAUCCUCAGAUUAUAUAAUUGGAUGUUGUAAAGAGUUAAAAUUUUUGUGUUGCAUUGAAUUAUUUUUUCUAACAAAAGUAUAUUUGGGUACCGUAGACAUUAUAUCCAUAUCUUAACGUAUUAUAUACUUUUAUUUUGUGCAAUUAGCAAUUGAGCGGAAGACGCGGAGCCGGCUAACGGAAAUACCGCGUGUCACGCGUGUCCCUUCCCGUACCAAGUCUCAACUGCUUCAAGAUUUCCGACGCGCCCUUCUUCGCUUAACUCUUAAGUCUUUUCUUCCACUCUUCCUUAAACCCAUCACAUUUCGCCGCGUGGACCUAAGUCUCAAUGUCCUUGUGUUCAUACGAUGUAUGUUCCCCCAAUUCCUCAUCUACACUGAAACUCCAUACUCGCCUACUCAAUCACUUCUCUACUCUAGAGUCUGGAUGCUUAUCUCUGCGCGUGUCGAUGGCUCUUCACCCCAGCGAGUAUGGCAUUACAAGGGCAAUAUCGUCAUUAAAGACACAACAGAGUGUCUAUUUUAUUUAAGCUGUACGUAAUCGUGAUUGACUUCUUAGUAUCCUUUUGCUCCUAGUCUUCUCCCGCGUCUCUUAUAAAAACUAAAGAAAACCACUCCAAGAGAGCACACUACAAGAAUCUUCUUCCUUUUUUUCUUUCCUCUUUCUCUUUACAGAUAAACUGAGAAAGCCCAGCUCAUCCCUCAAUUCCCAGAUGGGUUUCAUGAAUGUUCUCAAGUUCUCAGCUGCAUGCUUUGAUCUUCUUGGCUGGUAUGUUGUCCACGCGUUUUCUUGCCAUUGGAAAUUUUUGGGAAAUGAAGUGGAAUUCUCUGUUUGAGGACAAACAUGGGAUUUUCUUUGAUUUCUCCCUGUUGGUUUUAUCUAUAUUCUUUGAAUUACCCACAUUCUUGUCAUUGAUUGUUAGUCAUUUGUUUGGAUUUCUACUUGCAGGCCUCUAUGUGCACUGGGUUAUCCUCUGUAAGUCUUGGUCUUACACCUCAAGAUAUGAUGAUUCAUUUACUCUUUUCUUGUUCUACGAAUGGUUCAGUUACAUUUAUUGUGUUGGGAAACUGAAAAGGAAAAGGAUUAUUAGUUAUUAUCGUAAUAAUCAUCAACAUCAUCUCGGUUCUUCACAGAUGUGCUUCAAUUCGGGCAAUUGAGACUAACUCAAUCUCAGACUUUCGGAAGUUGGUGGCGUAUUGGGUUCUAUUUUCCUUGAUUUCACUCUUUGAUCAUGCUUUUUCCAAGCUCCUUGAAUGGUAAUUUUGCUCAACUGCAUUCCACUAUAUGUGACUCUGUUUGUUUCAUUUCUUUGCCCUUAAGGAAUUUGGAGUUGCUUUUUUCAGUUUUCUUUCCUAUGAAAAUAAUCGAGAGGUCUCCAUGUAUUUUAUAUUCCUUCAUUUCUCUGCUUUGACAAAGGCCCACAUUCUGAUCAGCAGAAAGGUUAUAACAUUUGAAAAAGAAGUGCUUUAUUUUUGUUUUUUGUUAGUACAAUAAUUUUCGUUUGGAUAAAUGGUCUGAAGGGUGUUUGUGUUUGGCUGAGUUCAUGGAAUUUUCUAGCUAAUUUGGGAUUUAUUCUCAAUUUCAAGAUCAUUGUGGAUAUGUCAGAAAUUAAUGAAAUAUAAACGGUGGAAUGUGAUUUUCUUGUUUAAGAAAAGUUUUUCUUUGAAAAUACGGGUGCACCUGACCUACCUUAUUGUGCUACUUGGAACACAAAACAUUAGUACAGGUAAUUUAUUAACUAAAUUGUACACUUUUUGAUAGUUCAAGGAGGUGGUUUUCUUCUUUUAGGGUGUCAGCUUUGGAAAUAGGAUGGAUCUAAAAGUUUUUAUGUCUCAUCUUUAUAGGGAACUUGAAAGCAUGGAUGCACUUAUUUCCAUGGAAUUUGGCUUCCUUGAAAUCAAAUUAAGCUUUAUGCAUCAUUUGGAUGCUGAGAAACAAAUGGAAAUAGAAAAUUCAGAAUCUGACAAGUUUUUGUAGGGCAACUGGAUCUAAUCUCUUAGUCGAAGCCUAAUUGGGGCAAAUGCUGAUCAUCUUUGGACCCCAUUGAAAGCUCUAAUCUGUGCACAAUUCUAAUGUUUUUGUUUUCUUCAUUUCUUUUUCAACUUUUCACAAUAGAUGUCAAAGGUUAAAACCAAAUUUACGCAGUCCAUCCAAGUGGAUGCAUAUAAAUUUAACAGAAACUGAAAUUCGAAGAAAUUUAUUUUCCCUUUUGUAAAUGGUGUUUAAAUAUUUUAUUUUCUUAUAUAAUGCAUGUCAGGGUACCAUUCUGGCCUUACAUAAAGCUGAUGGUCAUCUGCUGGCUGGUGAUACAGCAGUUUGAUGGUUCAUAUUAUGUCUAUCAACACCUAGUUCAGCCAUGCUUGUCCAUGGAUCCACAAGCUGUCAUGAACUGGCUCUUCAAUGAAUCAAAAAAGAAGUUUCAUAGCAGAGAAAACUUUCUUGUUUCAGCAGACCGAUAUAUUAAGGAGAAUGGACCUGAAGCUUUGGAGAAACUACUUUCUAGGAAGGUAUGCCAUUAUAAGUAGGAUUAUCAACAAGUCAAACAGAGUUUUAUUUGAGAUGUUCAGGUAAAAAAUGACUAUAGUAGGUCAUCUAGAAUCAUUUGGUCUAAAUUCAUGUAUAUAUCUAUAUAUAAUUGUGUUCUCUUUUUUUCACAUAUGCAUGUGCAUUUAGAUUUACAUAAUUAUAUAUGCAUAAUCAGAUUCAACUGUGAUAGCCCGGAAUUAUUUCAGUAAUCAACUCUUCUGGGAACAUGUUGGUUAUGGUUUCUCUCUCACUGUCCUCUUCUUUAUACAUGACUUUGGCUUCAGUUGAGGAGCGCAAAGCCUAAUGUUGAAGUGAAAAAGAUCAAAGCACCUGCAGCACCGGAGAAAAAAGGGGAACAGGUAAGUUCUCUAAUGUGACUAUUUAAUUUCUAUGAGGCAGAUCCCCAGAGAAAUGUUGCUCAUGUAAAUUACUGAUGCAUUUGAUUCAAUGGCAUGGUUUUAAAAGAAAAACCACUUUAUGUAUGUUUCUGUGAAUAAGAGAACAAGUUUAUGGAUUAAAUGAUAUUUUUUAUGGUGGAUUAAUCAAUAAUUUUCAAAAUAAUAAUAUAUUCGUGCAUGUUUUUGCAAUUCAUGAAUUCCUUUUAUGAUUGAUUCUUCUUGCCUUUUUUCUCACCUCAGUGGAAGUGUGAAGAGCCUAAUGUUGCUCAAAAGGAGAUCCAAGUUGUCAAAGUAACAGAGAUAAAAAAUGGGGGGGAUGGAGCAAAGAGGGUAAGUUUUGCUUUUUAUUUAUAAAGUAGGCUGUCUUCACACAAGGAUUAUUAUCUUUAAGACAUGAAUGUUGAAUGCUUUUGGAAUUGUCCAUGAAUCAUGUGUAGUGUGAAUGGCCUAAUGCUGCUAAGAAGGAGGUCAAAGUGACAGAAGUAACACACAGAACAUUCGGUGGUACAGCACAGUGGGUAAGGUUUCAUGUCAUAUUUAAAUGGCUCCUCAUAUUUCACUAGGAUUAAUUUUGCCCCUACAAACAUAUUUGGCUACAAGUUAAGACAGAGUUCCAGAUGCUGAUAAAGUUGAGACAUAAGUAAUGAAUGAGUUUAGAAACAUGCACAACUCUUGUGUGAAACACAAUGAGAGUGGAAAAUAGCUAAGUUGAAAAAUGGCCAAAUACUAUUUUGUAGUUCCCCCUACCACUUAAGUAAUUUUUGUCAUCCUUUGUGAAUGGAAAAUCCAGUCCCUUCAGUAAUUCCGUUAUAUUCAUGACUUGGUGAAGCAUAUAACCAUUAGUGUCUUGCCUUAAGUCGACCUUUAAUGAUGAUCCAUUGAGAUGGGUCUGACUUUUGUCAACCCUCUUAUUCCCUUGAUCAUAGAGGUUAAACUUAGGGGGCUUAACCCACUUUUGAACCUUAUUGGAUAUAUGGCACAUGGUAUCCUCUUCAUCUUGAAAGAGUGAAGUGGUCAUACUCUUUCCUCUGAGUCCAUUGUGGCCAUGCACUUCUGGCCCAUUGGGCUGAGUGAAAGGAUUCCCUUCUGCUUCAAAUCAUAGAGAGAUAUGCCAUGGUCAGCCUCUUUAAUUCAAGGGAUCGAAGUACUCAAAUCCAUUUCUCUGCAUCCAUCUUAAUUCUGCAUUCAUGUCUCAUGGUUAACCAAGAAGAUCCAGCUUCCAUCCAUGAGAUCAGCAUCUGCAGGUUUAUGACACCACCCUUCCUUGGCAUAGGAAAGGGAUCAUUAAGCCAUGUGUUGGAUGACAGAAGUCAUCAUUCAGGUUAUCUUGAGAACUAAGGAAGUUGGAAUUCUAAUUAUUGCAUAUGGUUCUUGAUGUUUAGCCAAUAUACCGUAGGAUUUUAAGGAUCAUGCUCAUGUGCAUUGUGGUUGUUUAUCAGCUAUAUGGUUUACCAAAAUGAGGGACUGAUUAUGGUCAUAAGUACCUUUUUCCUAUUAAUUUCUUGCAUGUGCUCUGCUGAGAUUAUGUUUUUGACAGUCCAAAUCAGGGCAAACCAACAAACAGCUUUAUGUUAACUUUUACAAACUGCCACAUUUUCAGGUUAAACGAACAGAGAUAAAUCUUGGUGAAACUAGAAGUAAUACAACUUGUGCUGUGGAGAUAAAAGAAAGGGCAGCGGCACUGGUGGCUGCAGAAAUUGAGGCAUGUAGAGACGAUAGAACCCCCAAGAUACCUCUUCAUGAGAAAGUCCAGAAAGAGUGGGCUUGUGCUGUAUGCCAGGUCACAACCCAAAGUGAAGCGACCUUCAAUUCCCACCUUCAAGGGAAGAGACAUCAGGCCACUUCUGAGCAGCUGAGAGCCAAAAACCAGGCAACCAAAACCAAUUGUUCCCCAUCUGCUUCAAUGGCCAAGAAAUCUGAUCAGUCCACCAAAGAGGAGCAACCGAAGUGUACUUCCAACAAUCUGAAUUCCAAAAACAAUGGAAUCUCAGCUGCUUCAACAGUGAAGAAACCUGAUGACACCAAAGAUGAUGAGCGACAAAAGUCUGCAUCUAGCAAUGAACCGAACCAGAAGAAUAACAAAAAGCAAGAGGUACAGACCAAUGAGCAAGGCCAUCAGAAGAACUUAAAGCAAACUGGCGAUGGAAUGAAAGAGUUGAGAUUAUGCUGCAAUAUCUGUAAUGUAAGCUGCACAAGUGAGCUUGACAUGGCCUCUCAUCUCAAUGGAUGGAGGCACUUUAAUAUGAUAAAGGAGGCGUCUGAAUUAUGGUGCAGUAACUGCAAUGUAAGGUGCAACAGUGAGGCUGUCAUGGCCUCUCACCGAAAUGGGAGGAGGCACUUGAAGCAGCUGAAGGAACGGUCGGGAUUAUAGUGCAGUAUCUGUAGCGUGAGAUUGUGUUAGGAAGAGGUGGAAUGGGUUCCAAUCAGGAAUUAAGACUCGGUUCCAAGACAUGGAAAGUGUCUUUAGAUUAUGUUAUCUCCAUUUUUUUUAUUGUGAGAGGGGAGUAUAAGGAAUGAAAAUAAAUAUAUAUAUAUUUUUUAAUAGAGAUGAAUUUGAUAAUUUUAAUUAUUGUGUUUUGAUGUAUUUAGGAAUGUAAAAUUAAAAUAAUUAUUUAUUUUCAUUUUAGUAUUUGACAAUAAUAAAAUUAUGAAUUAAAAAAUAAUGUGAUAAUAAUACAUUUAUAUUUAAUUUAAAAUAUUUUUUAUUUUAUUUUAGAAGAAUAUGGGUUAAAUUCUUUUUUUAAAUAAUAAGCUUAAGAAAAAUAAUUUUUACUCAAUAAAUAAAAUUAAUCAUAAAAAGUCAUAACAACCUAAUAAAAAUAUAGGGGUAAAAUAAUAAUUUUAAAAUAUUAUUUAAGUUAUCCAAACAAAUUUGACUCUUCAUUCUCUCUCUUGAACCAAAUACGGUCUUUUAAGCGUUUGUCAACUUAUUUUUUUUUGCAAAAUAUCAAUAUUUUACUAAUAUUUUUAUCGAUUAUUUGCCAAUAUUUAUCGCCACGUCACCAAUUCUUUGAGUUUGACUUUCAAAAUUUUGAAAUGAUAUUUGAAGUCCAGUUCAGCCCAAAUCACUACACCCAUGAUUUUUCCCUUUUCUUUUUCUCCUUAAUUUUCACAUCACCCAACAACACUACUCUUAAUUCACACAAAUUUGAAGGUUUGGAACGAGACUUCUUCCUAAUUAUAUUGUAAUUAUGUUAUAAUAACCAUGUCGUAUUUGGAUUUAUUUAUUCAGUCCAUCUAAAUCUUUUGUUUAUUCAUGUAAAAAGAAUAUAGUUAUAAUCGAAUCCAUUUGUGACAUAUUCAUCUUUUAUAAAUUUAUUAAUUUUAUAUAUUUAAAAACUAUAAAAAUUAAAUAUAUUUUUUCAAUUAUGAAUAUCAUAUUACUAAAAUAUUAAAUAACUAAUUAACUUGAAAUGUUUUAUAUUUCAUUCAUUAUUUUAUAAUUACAACAUUAAGUGAAAUAAUAAAUAGGUUAAAAUAUAUAUUUUAUUUUAGUUAAAAAUUAUAAAUUGUUAUUGAGACGUAUAACUAUUAAAAUUCUACCCAUUUGACCAUCAAACAAACAACUUAAGUUUUUAGUCAUAAUUUAAGCUUCUGAUAAACUCUAUUUCCAUAAAUUAGAAACCGAAAUCAAUUUCUUCUUAGACUCAAAAACAUAAAGACAAUCUUUUAAUUCUAGAAGACAUCUAUCAUUUAAGAUAAGGGUAACAUAUCCCAUUGCCUAAACAACAACUCUUGCUUCAAAAGCCAAUGUCAAGUACAUAUCCCUAUCAUUCAACCUUUCCCUUAGCUAAAACCCCUAUAAAGAAUUAUAAACAUAAUCAAUGGCUCCAAAAUUUAUCCACCAAGAGUUAGUGGAAUCCAACACUAAACAUAAUUCAACUAUAAGAGAAUGAUGCAUAGUUGACUAUCUCUUCAAGAACUAAGGACAUUCCUUCUUCUUCUAAUGGCAUUUUUUACCACAAAGGAAACACUUGUCAUGACCCUUACUCUUCUUCUUCUUCCCCUUAGCCUUAAACUUCCCCUUCUGCUUGAUGAACUCUAUAGUGUUCUUCUUAUUUUGGCUAGAAAAACCUAAAGAACCCUUAACUGCCAUAUAAAUACCUCUCUGGUCCUUGAGAAUUCCCUCAGUCAUUUUGUGUUCUCUCAUUAGUUCAAUUGUAGUUUAAGAAAAAUAAUGUUUUUUAUUUUAUUUUAUGUGAUUGAACUUGGAAUGAAUUUCCAAGUUGCAUACAUACUUGGGUUGAGAUCAAGUCAUAACGUAGUUUAAGAAAAAGAUUUUUUAUUUUUUAUGUGAUUGAACUUGGAAUGAAUCUCUAAGCUACCUACGUAUCCAAGAUGGGAUCAAGUUCUAACAUAGUCACAAUGCAGUUCAAGAUUUUUUUUUUUCUUUUUUUGUGCUCUAACUUUUGUCAAGACUAAAGAUCUUAAUCUUGCAAGCAUGUCCUAACUUUUGUCUAGGUCACCUUUCCAAGUUUUCAACUUAGCAAACAUUUUUUUUUUUUGUUCUCUAACGUUUGCCAAGACAAAAGAUUUUAAUCUUGCAAGCAUGUCAUAACUUUUACCUAAGUCAGAUUUUUAGGUUUUCAAUGUGGUGGAUUUUUUUGUUUUUUAUUUUUUAUUUUUUAUUUUUUGUGUCGUAGGCAAUUUAGCUCAUACGGCCCAGAAGCGAUGUGUAGUUUGUUGGGAUUCAACCCUUAAAAGCAAAACAUGAUGUAACAAAGUUAGACUUAACUAUCCCCUUGCUAUCAUUUUGGUGUAUUAACAUUGAUUUAAACAUUCAACUCAUAUUUUACAUUGUACAUGACUUAGGUGCAUUAGGAGUUGCUCAUAAGAUACAUGGAUUCCUUGUAAGUAGAUGAGUUAUCCAUAGUCAGUUCAUGGAUUUGGGCAAUCUAGUAGAGACUGUAAUGCACCACCUCUUAAUUGAAGAGAUGACUUGUCUUGACAGUUGGGAUAGGUUUCCUAUGGUGAGUGCACUAGUAUAUAUGAUGCACAUUGGAUAGGACCUACGGUAAAUCAUGAGCAAAGCUAUCAAUUGUCAUGAUUCACCAAGUUACGAUACUGCAUGGACUCUCAAUCUUGAGAGGACAUUGAACCUGUGCCAAAAUCAACAAAAAGCUUUCACCUAUAGAUGAGACCUUAAAGUGAUCAUAUAUCCCUAUGGAUUGAGUCACUAUUGAUGAAGGUUGGUGGUAAUAGGUAUUCUCAAUAGAGGCACCAUGAUAUCUCAUGAGAUUGAGACGGUGUGUCCCCUUGGGUGAUACAAAGGACAUGUGAUCAUAAAAUCUGUGACCAUAGUAAUUCUUUUAUUGAAAUUUGACAUAUACCCCUUCGAGCUAGAGUAUGUCAGUUGAUUACAUAAUAAGUGGCAUCUAUAACUUAAGGAUUUGAGAGGUAAUCUUGAUAGGUGAUAGCACUACCUUGUUAGAUUAUGGACACCAGUUCAUGGGGAAUCUACAUGCAGUGGAUGAUAUGUCACGAACGCGAGCUUCAUAUCGUUGUUAUUAACAUAGGAUACUGGAGUGCAAUUGAUUCUCUUUAGUAGAAUGUUGAAUCAACUUCAAAAUGGAUUAUGAGGGAGCCAAUACUCCUAUGGGUCUUAAUGGUCCCCACUCUGAGCUCAUAUACCAUGAUGACACAGUUUAUGAGGGUUUGAUUGGCUUUAUGUUCAUUUUUGUGCAUAAGGGCAUUUUGGUAAUUACACAAGGUUACAUAGGGGAUAGUCAAUAAGGUCUUUAGAUUGGGCCAAUUGAUUAAUUAGAUGACCUUAUGUGGUUAAUUAAUCAAUUAUGAUAUGUUUAGGCUAGAUUAAAUGACCCAAGCCUUGAUGAAUUUAAGUCACUUAAGCCUAGCAGAUAACCUUAUAAAUACCCUCUUAUGGGUUAGGGUUUCCUAAUGACUUUCAGUUAAUCAUCUUCCAUCCCUAGAAAGAGAAAGAGAGCCAAAUCUUUCUCCCUUCCAUUGCCCACACUUUGGUAUGCCAAGAUCAUGGUUCAAGUCACUGGGAGGAAGAUCUUGGGUGUACAAGACCUUCGGACUCUUUAAGUUUCUUCUUCGUUGGAUGAAUUUUUAUUUGGGACACAUCUAGAUCAUAAGUAUGUGUUAGAAAAUUUGGCUAAUUCAACUUAAGGUAAUCACUCUAGAGGAGGGGUGAAUAGGGUGAUGAUCUUUUUUUACAAAUUUAAAUUAUGUGAAUGCAAGAGACAAUUAUACUAUGCAAAUAUAUAGUAAAACCAUAUAAAAAUAAUUGCAUAUAAAGUACAAGGGUAGAAAAUAGAGAAUAUAAACACAAGAUUUUUAUAGUGGUUUGGUGCAACUCGGCCUACAUCCAUUCUCCUCUAGCUUCAAUCCCAAGUUUGAGGUUCCACUAAUUCAAGGCUUCCAACCUAACCCUUCAAGCAAUACAAUUGGAUUAUGGUUCCAAUCAAACCUUUUGGACUUUUGGCUCUAAGCACCUUUUACAAUCUUUGAUUCGUGCCUAACUGGUGUUUGCCCUGUUGAUUGGUGUUCAAUCAACUGAUGUGCUUUGAUUUCAGUCCUCAGACGAGAGUAAUCAACAAAAUUUAUAAACCUAUUUCACCAUAUACUAGGGUAGCAUUAGCUAGCAUAGCAUAGUGGCUCUAGGAUCGUCCACAGGGAUGGGUUUUCAAAUUACAAUUGAUAUUAGUUCAAAAACUGAAUUGGUGUUUUUUCUUUUCAAGGUUAGCUUUAAAAGAAAACAUAAGUAUGUGUGAAAAGGUUGGUUUUAAGUGAAACCAAAAAUAAAGUAACUGAAAUUACUUACAAAGAAAAGUGCUUCUUGGAGUUUUAGAUCACUAGGCUCAAGUUCCUUAUACAAAAAGAGAGAUUCCGAUCACUUGGAUCUUUUCCUAGCAUUGGGGAUUUAACAUAUAGUUAUUUCCCGAACCGGUGCGGUACAGAUGCUUCCCCUUAAUGGUUUCAAACACUAAAUCUCUAUCACUGAAUCAUCUUGUAAUGGUUCAUACCUCUCACCUGGUAUUGGUCAUUUAAGGUGAUCAUUAACCUUGGAUUACCCGUCAAAAGCUCGCAAAAGAUAACUAAUGAAUGUCUCCUAGGAGUCCAAAAGCUUACCAAGUGUUGGCUAUUCUAGAUAAUCCUACCUUUAAACCAUCUCCCAAAAGCUCGCAAGAGAUAAACUAGUGGAUCUCAAUGGACGGAGUCCACUUGCCUUACCAAGUGUUGGCCCAAGUGAUUUUAAGGGAUUUUAAGUUAACUAAAAAGAUAAAAACCAUUAACGGGUCACACUUUCUCUUCAUUAAAACCUGAAACAAUGAAACUUCCACUUUUGUAUACGAAACCUUACCUAGCUUCCUUCACUCCAAGAAACAAAAAGCCUAGCCACUCAUCCUCUAGGAAAACAUCCUCAGAGUUUGAUUUGGUAGAAAUAAAAAUAAAAGAGAAAACCAAAUGUGAAGGUAAGGCCGAGCAGAGCUCUGUGUAUUACUUUAUGAAAAACUAUACAAAAUUUGUCUCUAAGAGAAACUCCCCCGAGAUCUCUUUUAAAAGAAAAUUACAAUAGAUAUCAUAUAAAGAGGCUAUUCACCCCUCUUGCUAACUUCCCAACCAUGAAAACUUGUCAAUGGUGGGUUACAAGGAGAAAAUAGGGAUUUACACACAAAUAUUUGAAGAUAAACAUCAAACUGAGUCGGUGCGCAAAUAUCUCAGAUUACAAGUGGAUUUCGCAAGUUCAAACGCAACUUGCAAAAAUUUUGCAAGUUGAAAUUAUGGUUUCGCAAGUUGCGAAAUUGUCCUGCAACUAAUCAGCUCUCUGUCCUACAACAAUUCCUUUCCUCUUCCUAUUUCGCAAGUUGUGAGAAUUUCGCAAGUUGGAUUCCACAACUUGCAAAAUUGUUGGAUGGUUGAUUUCUUUUGUGAUUUUCUUCCUUGCAUCCUCAUUUGGCUUUGGCAAAGGGUUAUGAAGCUCCAAAGCUUAGUUUCUUCAUGAAUUUGAGCUUCAACUUGCUUUGCCAUGAACUAUACAAAGAUCUCCCUCAUUCUUGGAUUGCUUUGGUGAUAAAAAAGCUAUGAAAAACACCAAAACUUAACACAAUUUGAUUAGAAACGAUUGUAAGGGUCUUUAACAUGCCAAUUGAGUUAAAAGGUAAUAGCUACUACUCAAAAGUGUUUAAAAGAGUUAAUUACAAGCUAUAAAAUGACCCUUUUUGAAGUUCAACCCCUUAAGUGAUACCCCUUAAGUGAUACCCCUUAAUUCAAGAGAUGUCUUACUCUUAAACAACCCCUUAAGUGAUACCCCAUACUUGAGAUUCCCUAAGUGAUGCCUCACACUUAGAUUUUUCAUCUCAAAGAUUUACAAAUGAAGAUAGGAAAUAAUCUCACAAAAUCUUAAUACAAAACAUUAGGCUCAAAUGAUACAAGAUAAACUAUGAUUGAAUGGUGCACUAAUAAUAUGCAAGUUUUAAAACAAUGAGUACUAAAAAACACUCUCCUAAGGUUCAAAUAUAUUCAAGAAAGAUUUAAGAAGGUUAAACUCUUGAAACAAUAAAGAUUGAAACCUUUUUAUGGAGGAGAAAUGCCAAACUAGUUGUUGGGGGUUUGUCCAGUCGAGUUCUGGUUUGACCGGUUCACUAACCGUUAGCAUUUAAUGCAUGAUAGGUGAUCAUUGGGCCUUGACCAUCCCUCGACCAGUACUCAACCGGAUAAAGUUCAACCUUAAUCAAUCGAAUAAGCAUUCUAGAAUAGAGAGAAGGUUUUUGCACCUUUCAAUCAGUUGAGUUGAACAAAUAGACGGAUUCCUUAUCCAGUUCAACCGGUUGAGCCAUUUUUGGCUCAACAAUCAUCAUUUUCAACUUAAAACCUUUUAAACAAGUUUAGAAAGCAUUUGACACAAGGAUUUAGUUGAAAACAUUAAAUCAUCCUAUUUUUAAAAGAUUUAAAACAAAAUACCUCUUGAAUGAUUUUGGUGUAUAAGUAAAUAAUGUAAUGCAUGAAAAACCCAGUGCGCCAACAACCUUACAAAGAGAUCUUAUGAGGCUUAGGUAUUGAAAAACACUUCUCUUUAAGGCAGACAACAUCGUGUGAAUACCAAAGGGGAACUCUACGUUCCUAGGGAAAGAUGCCUCGUCAGUACGUCUUGAGGUUGUUCACUAACUUCGGGGUUACCGGCUUUGAGAGGAGCCCUUUGAUGACAUUUGGGCAUGCAACUCUUCAUUUUCUUCCUUGAUUCGCCUUGUUUGGUGGAUCAAAGAUUGCAUAUGCCAGUCAUUUUUGCACUAGGUUCUCUCCAUGCUUUCACGCCAGCCAAAGUAGCUUUCGUUACCCAUAGUUGAGGAUCGGCUUCUAAAGGGUACUAACAUCCUUAGUCAUUCCCACAGAUGACACCAAUGUUGGUUCUGAGUCGGCUGAAGUCAAAUUCAUCCAACUUAACGGAAGUUUGACAACCUUCCUCCAUUUUUUGUGCCUCUUAGAGAAUCCACCUAGCAGUAAUGAGAUUGGGCGAACUCCUUUCUUGCACAAAAGAAUGUUCAGAUGAGUACUUCGGGUACGCCCUUCGAAGCUUAAGUGAGGCAAAAAUAGCUCAAACUACUUAAUGAGAGAGAGUGGAUAGGUGAAUAUGUGCCUACCUUGUUCGUGCUUUUUGAGGGGUUUAUAUAAUGUUGAUGAGAAUGCCACUAUAGUGCUUACUAGACACUUUAACUUUCUUCUAUAAUGAUGAUUGUCUUGCAGGCGGUUGGGCAAUCAUCAAAAUUUUGGGUGGCUGAUAGGUGCCAUCAACUAACGUGCCAUGAUCUUAGACCAUGCAGUAACCUGUUCCCUCAGUCUGUUGAUGGCCUAAGGUUAUGUGCAACAAUUAAUUGACAUGGACUUGAGGGCUAGAAGAGGUCCCAUCGGCCGUUCACAUGUCAAGUGUGAAUGAUCACUCAUGCUAGUGGGUCUUGAAGAUUUGACUAGACAACCUUACCUAUUUGGGAGGUCCAACCUCCCAUUGCCGUUGUUUUGGCCUUAUAGGAGAAAAGGGCUUUCUCAUGUAUGGUGCUAGAGGGACUAGUCGUGAUCCAGAUGAGUUGCAUACCCAUGCUAGAUGGUCGAAGUGUCCGGGUUGGAAAUGGAGGGAAGCCUCCCACAAAUAUGAGGGAGCCUUAUGAAAACGGAUCCUUAGGGCUUAAGAAGGGGUUUUCAAUUUUAAGGUUUGCCUUUUCACCCAAGGAUGUGAAUGGGAAGAUGAGGCGAAGUUAAAAGAUUGGUGAAGCAAAGUGAGGGCAAGGUAGGGUUUGAAUAAAGGAAAGUAUACACUAUUAAUGAAGAUGAUAAUCUCUAGAAAGAAAAACUAAGGUAAACUAGGGCUUUAAUAAUAAUUUUCAAUCUACACUAGUGAAGAGGAUAUCUUCGAAAACCAAAGUUAGGGCUUCAAUAACGAAUUUCAAUCUACAAUGGUGAAGACAAUAAUCUUCGAAAACCAAAUCUAUAAUGAUGAAGAUGAUUGAAAACUAAAUCUAUACUAGUGAAGACGAUUGGAAAGCAAAUCUACACUGGUGAAGACAAUGAAACCAAAUGUAGGUCUUCUAAACUAAACGCUUUUAAGGAUUUUCCUUUUUUUUUUCCUUUGUUUUCAAGAAAGGCAAACUCUUUAGAAAACUAAAAAAACUAAUGCAUUCUUAGAUCCAGAUCACUAUUUCCAACAUGGUAUUUGGAUUGCCAGCUUGCAUUUUUUAUUUUUUUAUUUUUUUAAUAGUCAUUGGCAUUUUAGGGAUUAUUGAAGGAUAAUAUCAUUCAGCUCAAUUUCCCAAAUUAGUUAGGUCUUACACUCAAAUGUGAAACUUAUAUGGAUGUUAGGCCAAUUAUCAAACUCAUCUGCCCUAAAACAUAAUUUCCCUUUUUUAAAAUAGUUGUUAAACAUCUAUCCCAAACACGUUUAACCCUUUGAAUUGCUUGUAUGUUAACCUUGUUUCCUUUUCUUCAUGCAACAUGGCUUAUUGAUGGUUGCAUUGAAUCAUUAUCAUUCACCAAUUCCAUGCAACUAUGGACUACAUUUCAAAUCCCUCGAACAUAAAUGGUAAUUCCAAAACAACUCAAGUAUAAUCUUUUCAACCCUUUCAAAUGAUUUAAUUAAUUGAUUUUUGAAUAUAUUCAUAUAUUUUUUUGAGCAAUUUUUAGGCAUAUAACAUAAAUCUCUUUUUUAUAUAUAUAUAAAAGGUUUUAUAUUUUAUAUUACAAUUUCCUUUUGUUUUUUCAUCUAAAAAACAAAACAUAAAACCUUAAUAAACGAGUUUUGUCACAAUCCCUUAACAAGUAAUCUAUUUUUUAAAUUACUUUAACAUUUUUAGAUAUAUUGAUUCAAUCUAAUUUACUUUUAAUAUUUUUUAUAAAAUAUUUUUACUUUAUAUGACUAUAAAUUAAUUACUAUUGAUUGCAUAUUAUAGAAUAUAUAUUCUAAAAUAUAUCUUAUUGACAAUAUAAUCAUAAGAUGUUAUAUCCAUAUCCUAACAUAUUAUAUACUUUUAUUUUGUGCAAUUAGCAACAUGGUGGGAAGUGGCAAGCAGCUUAACGGAAAUGUCAUGUGCCAAUGUGCCAUGCGUGUCCCUUCCCUUAGUGAGUCUGAACUGCUCCAACAUUUCCGACAUGUUAUUUUUUACUUAGCUCUUAAGUAUUUUCGUCUCGUUUUCGUUAACCCCAUCACAUUUCGCCACAUGGAUCUAAGCCUCAUGGUCCUUUCGUUCGUACAAUGAAUGUUCCCCCAAUUCCUUAUCUACACUAAAACUCCAUACUCGCCAUCUACUCAACCACUUCUCUACUCUAGAGUUUGGGUCCUUUAUCUCUGCACGUGUCUAUGGCUUUUCACCCCAACAAGUAUGGCAUUACAAGGGCAAUAUCGUCAUUAAAGACCCAAAAGGGAAACCAAUGGCAUUAUCUUCCUUUUGGUCUAUUCUAUUUAUAUUGUAAGUUAUUCGUGAUGACUUCUCCCAUAAAAGCUAAAAACCACUCCAAUAGAGCACACUUCACUUCUUCAUUUUUUUUUUUCCAGAUAAGCUCAGAAAGCCCAGCUCAUCCCUCAACUCCCCGAUGGGUUUGAUGAAUGUUCUUAAAUUCUCAACUGCAUGCUUUGAUCUUCUUAUCUGGUAUAUUGUCCACGCAUUUUCUUGUCAUUGGAAAAUUUUGGAAAAUGAAAUGGAAUUCUAUGUUUGAUGACAAAACUGGGAUUUGCUUUGAUUUCUCCAUGUUGGUUUUAUCCCUUUUGUUUGAAUUGUCCACAUUCUUGUCAUUGGUUGUUAGUUAUUUGUUUGGAUUUCUACUUGUAGGCCUCUGUUUGCACUGGGUUAUCCUCUAUAAAUCUUGGUCUUACACACCAAGAUAUGAUGAUUCAUUUACUCUUUUCUUGUUCUAUGAAUUCUUAGUUCUGUUACAUUUAUUGGGUUGGAAAACUGAAAAAGGAAAGGAUUAUUCGUUAUUAUCAUAAUAAUCAUCAACGUCAUCUCAAUUAUUCACAGAUGUGCAUCAAUUCAGGUAAUUGAGACUAACUCGAUCUCAGACAUUCAGAAGUUGGUGGCAUAUUGGGUUCUAUUUUCCUUGAUUUCACUUUUUGAUCGUACUUUUUCCAAGCUCCUUGAAUGGUAAUUUUGUUCAACUUCAUUCCAUCAUAUGUGGCUCUAUUUGUUUCAUUUCUUUGCCCUUCAGGAAUUUGGAGUUGCCUUUUUUAGUUUUCUUCCCUGUGAAAAUAAUCGAGAUGUUUAAUGUUCCAAGCCUCCAUGUAUUUUAUUUUCCUUCAUUUCUCUGCUUUGAUAAAUCCCCAUGAUUUGAUCAGCAAAAAGGCUAUAACAUUUGACAAAGAAAUGCUUUAUUUUGGUUUUUUAAGUACAACAAUUUUCAUUUGGAGAAAUGGUCUAAAGGGUAUCGGUGUUUGGAUGAAUCAUGGAAUUUUCUCGCUAAUUUGGGAUUUAUUCUCAAUUUCAAUAUCAUUGUGGAUAUUUCAAAAAUUAAUGAAAUAUAUAUGAUGGAAUGUGAUUUUCUUGUUUAAGAAAAGUUUUUCUUUAAAAAUUUAGGUAACCCUGACCUACCUUAUUGUGCUACUCGAAACACAAAACAAAAGUACAAGUAAUUUAGUAACUAAAUUGCACACUUUUUGAUAGUUCAAGGAAGUGGUGUUAGCUUUGGAAAUAAGAUGGAUCUACUAGUUUUUAUUUCUCAUCUUUAUAGGGAACUUUCCAUAAUAUAGCUUAUAAAUACCAUAAUCACAGUGAUGAAUAAUUGUCUUGUUUGAAAGCAUGGUUGCACUUAUUUGCAUGGAAUUUGUCUGCGUUGAAAUUAAAUUAAGCUUUAUGCAUCAUUUGGAUGCUGAGAAACAAAUGAAAAUAGAAAAUUCAAAAUUUGACAAGUUUGUGUAGGGAAAUUGGAUCUAAUCUCUUAAUCGAAGCUUAAUUAGGGCAAAUGUUGAUCCUCUUUGGACCUAUUGAAAGCUCUAAUCUGUGCACAAUUCUAAUGUUUUUGUUUCCUUAAUUUCUUUUUCAACUUUUCAACAAAGCAUCAAUUUGCUAUAAUAAAUGAGAACCAACUUGACGAUGAGAAAAAUGACUGGUGAUGAUGUCAUAGAGAAUCGCAGAUGAGAACAACCAAAAAUACUAGGAUUGGUACCACUGAUGGUAAUGAAGAAAACACAAAAAUGGUGCAAAUGGUGAACAGGAAACUCAAAAUGGAAUGGGAAAAGAAACCUAAACAAUAGUCUCCUAUAUAAAGCACACAACAUGUACAUCGAGGCAUCUGAAAGGACACGCUGCCUGAGAAGUCACUCUAAUUGAUGUGACUCCUCAUGACGUGGGUGGUGGACAUAUGUCCCAUGGUGCCAAAAAUUUCAAACACUCAAGCAACCGAAUACUUUCACUUAGUCAUUUAAAGCCUAGCUAGACUCAAUUGCAAGAAUUAAGGGCAUUGUGGGAUGCUCACCACCGUCUAUCAUGGUCCUCAAACACUGUCUGGUGUGAGACAUAUUGGCACAAGAGCCAUGUAGCUUCUCUAUCCACCCCAAGAUACUCCUAGGGUAGCAAACGAACACAAUCCGACCAAACACUAUGCAUUCCUACCCUACAAGCAUUAAUUUCAAUGAGCAAUAAGUGUAUUAACACAUUAAUGAAUGCAACCGUUAUAACGCUAAAACGCCAUACUUUAAGGUUCAUCAAGACACAACAACCAUUAUGGGCCGACAAUUAUUGGCGUUAAAUAUGGUAAUGCGCAAUCAAAGGCUCAAUUAAGGCCCUUUAGAAGACGUUACUAUUGGGCAAAGAUAAAUAACCAUUUUUUACCACAAGAAAGUCUGAUGCCAUUUUUUUCACAAAAACUUUUGCUUAAGUCUUCCAUCUCUAACCUAAGCUUUGAAGGGGUGUACUUGGAAAACCUAUCCGAACAUUCCUUUAUGUAGGUGCAAUCAUCGUUUAUGUCACGCGAAGGCUAGUCAAAGACCUUUAUUGGUCGUGCACCAAUAAAUCUAUUUAGUAUAUCUCAUUUAUCCGUUCAAGUGAGAUGAAGGAGUGACCUAAAGAUAGAUUGGAAACAUCAUAGUUUCUUAUAUUGGUAAGGCAGCAACAACCUCGGCUAGUGCAUCAACCUGCUCGUUUUCCUCUAGGGGUACGCGUUUGAUAAACCAUUCAUUCAAUUUUUCUGUUCAAGUGUACCAAAGAGAGGUAAUGAGCCAUGCAUUCAUCUCAAGCUUCAUAUUUUAGUUAGAUUUGUUCACCCACUAGUUGUGAAUUGCUUUUGAUUUCUACUUUCAUGGUUGUGAGAGCUAAGGCUAGAUCGUCUCAUAAGAAUUGCUUCAUAUUUUGCCUCAAUAUUAGAUACUGGAAAGUUGAGACAGACGACUUGUUCAAUUUGCUCUCCUGUAAGGAAUUGUUGUGUUAGUCCUAUCCUAGCUUCUGAUGUUCUAGAGGCUUCGUCUACAUGGAGAACACGCCAUUGUUCUUCAUUGUUAGACCUUGUCCAUUUUUGGGGUGGUUCGACUAUGAAAUCAAUGAGAACUUGCUAUUUGAGAUACUAAUGAGGUUUGUACCGUAUGUAAUAUUCACUCAAUUUGAUUGCCCAAUUCACCAUUCGACUAGAUAGAUUUAGCUUGUGCAACGUGACCCACAACGGUUGAUUUGUCAAGACCGUUAUUUGGUGCGCCUGAAAAUAUGGACAAAGCUUCUUGGCAGCGAUCCGUAAGUUCAGAGCCAUUUGUUCCACUUAAGAAUAUCGUGUUUUUGUGUCAAUCAUAGCUUUUCUCACAUAGUAAAUAAGUCUUUGUUCAUUACUCUAAUUGUGUGGAAACAAUAUGACAUUGACAGCAAAGUUUGACACAACCAGGUACAUGUAUAACUCUUCUCUAGCUUCAAGACUACUUAAGAUUGGUGGCUUCGUAAGAUACUGUUUGAUGUCUUUAAAGGCAUGCUCACACUCAUCCAUCUAACUAGACAUCUUUGCUCCCUAGAGUUUGCUCAAGAAAGGUCUGAGCUUAUUUAUGAAGCGUGUUAUGAACCAACCUAAGGUGAUUAGACACCCAGUUAGACGUUGCACUUCCUUCUUGCUAGUAGGAGCAGGGAUUUCUAACACUACUUUCACUUGAGCCAGAUCGACUUCAAUACCCCCUUUGAGUCACCAUGAACACAAGAAACUUCCACUCACUUACUCUAAAUGCAUAUUUUAUUGGAUUAAGCUUCAUGUCAUACCUGCACAUUAAACUGAAUGCUUCUUCCAAAUGGAGGAGCUUCUUGGAACGAGUUAUUCUCUUAAUGACAAUGUCAUCGAUAUAGACUUCCAACGUUCGACCUAUCAAGGGCUUAAAAAUAUGGGUCAUCAACUGUUGGUACGUAGCUCCAAUGUUCAUUAACCCAAGCGACAUGAUCUUGUAAAAGUACAACUCCUUAUGUGUAAUAAAUGUCAUCUUCUCUUUGUCAUGUGGAAACAUUGGUAUCUGGUGGUAUCCAAAAGAAGCAUCAAGAAAAGACAACAUUCCAUGCCUGGUUGUGGCAUCGACUAUCUAAUCUAUCUAGAGCAAUGGGAAGCUAUCUUUCAAGCAGACUUCAUUCAUAUCCACGUAGUCUGCGCACACCUGCCAUUUUUCUCCUUUCUUGGUACCACUACCACAUUUGUUAACUAGUCCAAGUAGGUCACCUCCUUGAUAAAUCUUCCUUUUAAUAGCUUCUCAACUUCUAUCUAGAUAAUUUUUUGAUGAUCCAACUAGAAACGUCAGACUUUAUAUUGUAUGGGUCGUGCUGUAGGAAGAAGGUUCAACUUAUGAGAGCUCACCGCUAGGUCUAUUCCAAGCAUUUCCGAAUGAAUCCACACGAGGAUAUCCUUGUUUUUACAAAGCAUUUCACCAACAUUACCACAUUCAUCCCUAGUUAGCAAAAAAUUAGCGUAAGUCAUCUGCUUAUUAUUUUUCGACAAAGAUAGCUAUUGUAAUAGGCUGAUUGCCAAUGAGUCUCUAUCCUCUAGUUUUCCUUCGACCUAAUUCUAUAAUUGUUAUUAGCUCUCUCUUGAUGAUUUGAGUUCAUCUUUAGUUGGGCCUGAACUCCAUCGCCACUUAGUAACACUACUAGGUGGCUAAUUGGAUUCCAUGUGGAUCCACUUACCCAAAUUCUGUCAGGUAGCUCACCAUCUUAUGAUAGGUGGAUGGAAUAACUUUCAUCUUAUGUAGGUACGACAACCUUAUGAUGGUGUUGUACGACGGUAAAUCCUCUACUAUAGAAAAUCAUACGUUGAGAGUAGGCGGGUUGGCUUGGACAAGAAGUACCACGUCGCAUAGUGAUAUUGUGGCAACCCUAUUAAACCCAAACAAAAGUCGAACUAGAUUUUCUAAGGCAGAUGACGAACAUCCCAUUUUCCUGUAGGUUGACAUAUGCAAUAAAUUGGAAUGAUCAUUUUAGGAAGGAUCACUUGAUUAAUGUUAAUUGAAGGGAAAGUGAUUGGGUCAUUGACUGGUCGGGCACUUUCGACAGUAAAUGUGCACUGAACUGCACUUACUCUUUCCCUCCCUGUAGUCGCACAGAGCAUUCGUCUCCUUUGUUGUUUGGAGUGAUAUUUGUCAUCUACUAUUUCCCCAUGGAUAUAGUUAAUCACUACUCGAUGUGUUGUGGGAGAGUCAGGAACUCACUCUGACACUUCACGUGUCAUUUCUUUAUGUCCACCAGUUGCUCAGACAUACAACUUGAGAUGUCCGGUAAUGAUUAGUUUCUCCACCAAGUAGUGCAAAUUUUUGCACUCUUCUGUGGUGUGCCCAUGCUCCUUAUGAUAGAAUCAUCGCAAUCCUCGAUCAUGCUUGGACGAAUCAGUUUUGAUGGGCUCUAGCCACUUGAACUCGAGCAGCUCUCAAAUCAAGAGGAGAAUUCUAUCAUAAAAAAUGGUCAACGGGGUGAGCCUAGGCGAUUAUCAUUGUUGUUGUCUUUCUUGUCCUUGAUUAGUCUAUCUAGACUGGCUUGAGGGCUUUAAGCUCUUAGCCUUCUUUUUUAAUUGCUCGGUUUAUAACCAGGAUUUGUUGAGAGGUUACCUAAACAUCCUCCUCAAGCAUGACAUGUUUGCCCACUCGUCUAAAUAGGUCAUUCAUUGUAGUGGGCAACUUUUUGGCCAUGGACUUGAAGAAUUGAGUGCUUGGACUGAUGAUCCAUUUGAAGAUCUGCAGGAUAGCAUCCAUGUUGUAAGAUUCCAUCUAGAACACCGCUUGUCUGAAUCACUUCAUGAAGUCCCUUAGCGAUUCAUUCUCCUACAUCUGAAUGUUCUAUAAGGUGCUUAUAUUCUGCUUUUGGCGAGCAAAACAUAAAUAAUGGCCCACAAAGGCCUCUAAAACAUCUGUCAUCUGUUGUUGGAAGUGCAUCAGGUGAACAAAAGAGUCACCAUCCCAUAGUAAAUAGUAAAUUUGGGCACCGGAAACCCCUGGGCAGCUCAUAACUAAUGAUAUGUGGGUCAAACGACAUGAAGAGCAUGUCAUCCAAUCAUCUACUUAUGGAGUCAAGAGGGGCUUUUGUCAAUGGGUUAUUUGUCGAUUGUAGUUCUAGUAUUGAACAUUAAGGCAGACGGCUUGGUGAUGCCUCAUCGUUUGAUUGGCCUAAUUGUGCUUUCAAGGCCUCCAAUAUGCAUGGCGAUGCUAGUGUUCUUCUCUCCUGAUACCCAAGAUAGGCUUUCAGGGCAUCUGAGAGACGUAAGCCCCAUUCUUAACCCAUUUUCCAUUUUUCUCCAAUAGAGCUUGCAACCUCUUUCGCUUGAGUUCGAUCGACUACUGAAUGCACUAGUUCAAGUAAUGUUAGCGAACUGCUAGUAGACAAUCCCUCAUCCACUGUUUGUAGAGACGACUUAGUGUAUCAUUGAAGAACUUUCAUUGUUUGGCUUCAAACUACUCUUGAAGUCGUCUAUUGGUUGGAGGUACGAUGACUUUUUUAUCAGCACCCCAUAGCCACUUGUGCUCGUAGCUCUUGGUUCUCUUGCUGUAGUUGUUCUGCCUGUUGGACAGGGACUACAUAGGUUAUUCAUAUUCUUCUUGCUUUUUUUCUAUCUUUCCUUGCCAAGCUUGGAAUCGCUCGUCAACAUUUGCAGAAUGAGUUGCAGGAGGCGUGUUAACCAUCGUGUUUUUUAGGCAUUUGUGGUUGAUUCCCAUAGACAAUGCCAAUGUUGGUGCACGACCAGUAAAAAAAGGUGUUUGGCUAGUCUCCAUGUAACAUAGAUGACGAUUGCACCUGCACAAAGGAAUGUCUGAAUGGGUUUUUCAGGUACACCUUUCCAAAGCUUAGGUCAGAAAUGGAAGACUUAAGCAAGAGUUUUUGUGGAAAAAUUGGUAGCAUACUUUUCUUGUGGUUAAGAAUAACUAUUUAUCUUUGUCCAACUAUAAUAUCUUCUCAGAUGCCUUAAUUGAGCCUUUGAUUGUGCAUUAUCAUCUUUAAUGUCAAUGAUAGCCAACCCAUAAUGGUUGUUGUGUCUUGAUGAACCUUAAAGGUUGGCGUUUUAACCUCAUAAUGAUUGCAUCCAUCAAUGCGUUAAUGCACUAAUUGCCUAUUGCAAUUAAUGCUUGUUGGGCAAGAAUGCAUAGUGCCCGAUUAGAUUGUGUUUGUUUGGUACCCUAAGAGUACCCUGGGGUGGACAAAAAAGCCACAUGGCUCUUGUUCUAACAUGUCUCGACUAGACAGUGUUUGAGGAUCAUGUUAGAUGGUGAUGAGCAUCCCACAGUGAAGACGUAUGAUGAAAGCAAAGGUAGGGCUUCUAAACCAAACGCUUUUAGGGAUUUUUUUUUUUUUUUCAACAAAGUUGACCUCUUCAAGGAAAAAAAAAAAGGUUAAAAAAACUAUUGCUUUUUUGGAUCCAAAUCACCAUUUCCAAUGUGAUAUUUGGAUUUCCACCAUGUAUUUUUUUUUUUUUUAACAGUCAAGGACAUUUUAUGGAUUAUUGAAAGAUAAUAUCUUUCAACUUAAUUUCCUACAUUAAUUAAGUCUUAGGCUCAAAUGUGAAACUUAAGUGGUUGUUAGGCCAUCAAACCCAUCUGCCCUAAAGUAUAAUUUCCCAUUUUCAAAAUAUAUAGUUGUUAAACAUCUAUCCCAAACUAUUGUAACCCUUUGAAGUGCUUGGUAUGUUAACCUUGUUUCCUUUUCCUUAUGCAACAUGGCUAAUUGAUUGUUGCAUUGAAUCAUUAUCAUUCACCAAAUCCAUUCAACUAUGGACUUACCUUUCAAAUCCCUCUAACAAAAAUGGUAAUUCCAAAACAACUCAAGUCUAAUGUUCUCAACUCUUUCAAAUGAUUUAAUUAAUUGGUGUUUGAAUAUACCUCUUAUAUUUUUUUAGAGCAAUUUUUAGGCACAUAACAUAAAUUUCUAAUUUUUUUUUAGAAAAGGUUUUAUAUUUUAUAUUUUAUAUUACAACUUCCCCUUUUUUUUCCAUCUAAAAAACAAAACAUAAAACCUUAAUAACCGAGUUUUGUCACAAACCCUUAACAAAUAAUCUAUUUUCCAAAAAUUACUUUAACAUCUUUAAACAUAUUGAUUUAGUAUACUUUACUUUUAAUAUUUUUUGAAAAAUAUUUUUAUUUUAUAUGAUUAUUAAUUAAUUAAGAUUGAUUGGGUAUGGUAGAAUAUAUAUUCCAAAAUACAUCGUAUUGAGAACAAUAUCACAAGAUAUUAUAUCCAUAUCUUAACAUAUUAUAUACUUUUAUUUUGUGCAAUUAGCAAUUGGACGGAAGGUAGGGAGCCGGCUUAAUGGAAAUGUCGCAUCUCACGUGUGUCCCUUCCCUUACCAAGUCUCAACAAAGGAUGAAAAUAUCGGUAAUCACGGAUAUAUCGGUACUUCGAUUUUACGGAUAUAUUAGAUAUAUCAGAGAUAUAUUGACGGAUAUUUUGGAAAAAAAUAUCGAUAAGCCUAAAAUUGAUCAAAAUUUAUAAAAAUAUAAAAAAAACUUCAUAAAAAUGUAAUUAAAAGAAGGUCGUAUAAGUUACUCAUGUUGAUCAUGUGAUAUAUCACGAGAUAUAAUCGAUUUUUGGGAAUUUCUCACGAAAAUAUCGCGACAUUUCUUCCUUGUCUCGACUGCUCCAAGAUUUCCUAUACGCCCUUCUUCGCUUAGCUCUUAAGUCUUUUCUUCUCCUCUUCCUCAAACCCAUCACAUUUCGCCGCGUGGAGCUAAGUCUCAAGGUCCUUUUGUUCGUACGAUGUAUGUUCCCCCAAUUCCUCAUCUACCUUGAAACUCCAUACUCGCCAUCUACUCAACCACUUCUCUACUCUAGAGUCUGGAUGCUUUAUCUCCGCGAGUGUCGAUGGCUCUUCACCCCAGCGAGUAUGGAAUUACAAGGGCAAUAUCGUCAUUAAAGACACAACAGGCAAACCAAUGGCAUUGUCUUCCUUUUGGUCUAUUUUAUUUAUGCUGUAAGUAUUCGUGCUUGACUUCUCCCGCGUCUCUUAUAAAAACUAAAGAAAACCACUCCAACAGAGCACACUUCAAGAAUCUUCUUUUUUUUUUUCUUUCCUCUUUCUCUUUACAUAUAUACUGAGAAAGCCCAGCUCAUCCCUCAAUUCCCAGAUGGGUUUUAUGAAUGUUCUCAAGUUCUCAGCUGCAUGCUUUGAUAUUCUUGCCUGGUAUGUUGUCCACGCAUUUUCUCGCCAUUGGAAAUUUUUGGAAAAUGAAGUGGAAUUCUCUGUUUGAGGACAAACAUGGGAUUUUCUUUGAUUUCUCCCUGUUGGUUUUAUCUAUAUUCUUUGGAUUACCCACAUUCUUGUCAUUGAUUGUUAGUCAUUUGUUUGGAUUUCUACUUGCAGGCCUCUAUUUGCACUGGGUUAUCCUCUGUAAGUCUUGGUCUUACACCUCAAGAUAUGAUGAUUCAUUUACUCUUUUCUUGUUCUACGAAUAGUUCAGUUACAUUUAUUGUGUUGGGAAACUGAAAAGGGAAAGGAUUAUUCUUUAUUAUCGUAAUAAUCAUCAACAUCAUCUCGGUUCUUCACAGAUGUUCUUCAAUUCGGGCAAUUGAGACUAACUCAAUCUCAGACUUUCGGAAGUUGGUGGCGUAUUGGGUUCUAUUUUCCUUGAUUUCACUCUUUGAUCAUGCUUUUUCCAAGCUCCUUGAAUGGUAAUUUUGCUCAACUGCGUUCCACUAUAUGUGACUCUGUUUGUUUCAUUUCUUUGCCCUUAAGGAAUUUGGAGUUGCUUUUUUCAGUUUUCUUUCCUAUGAAAAUAAUCGAGAUGUUUAAUGUUCCAGGCCUCCAUGUAUUUUAUAUUCCUUCAUUUCUCUGCUUUGACAAAUGCUCACAAUCUGAUCAGCAGAAAGGUUAUAACAUUUGAAAAAGAAGUGGUUUAUUUUUGUUUUUUUUAAGUACAAUAAUUUUCGUUUGGAUAAAUGGUCUGAAGGGUGUUUGUGUUUGGCUGAGUUCAUGGAAUUUUCAAGCUAAUUUGGGAUUUAUUCUCAAUUUCAAGAUCAUUGUGGAUAUGUCAGAAAUUAAUGAAAUAUAAAUGGUGGAAUGUGAUUUUCUUGUUUAAGAAAAGUUUUUCUUUGAAAAUGCGGGUGCACCAGACCUACCUUAUUGNNNNNNNNNNNNNNNNNNNNNNNNNNNNNNNNNNNNNNNNNNNNNNNNNNNAUCAGAUUCAACUGUGAUAGCCCGGAAUUUAAUUCAGUAUUCGACUCUUCUGGGAACAUGUUGGUUAUGGUUUCUCUCUCACUGUCCUCUUCUUUACACAUGACUUUUCAGUUGAGGAGCACAAAGCCUAAUGUUGAAGUGAAAGAGAUCAAAGCACCUGCAGCACCGGAGAAAAAAGGGGAACAGGUAAGUACUCUAAUGUGGCUAUUUAAUUUCUAUGGAGGCAGAUCCCCAGAGAAAUGCUGUUCAUGUAAAUUACUGAUGCAUUUGAUUCAAUGGCCACGGUUUUAAAAGAAAAACCACUUUAUGUAUGUUUCUGUGAAUGAGAGAACAAGUUUAUGGAUUAAAUGAUAUUUUUUAUGGUGAAAUAAUCAAUAAUUUUCAAAAUAAUAAUACAUUCCUGCAUGUUUUUGCAAUUCAUGAAUUCCUUUUAUGAUUGAUUCUUCUCACCUUUUUUCUCACCUCAGUGGAAGUGUGAAGAGCCUAAUGUUGCUCAAAAAGAGAUCCAAGUAGUCAAAGUAACAGAGAUAAAAAAUGGGGGGGAUGGAGCAAAGAGGGUAAGUUUUGCUUUUUAUUUAUAAAGUAGGCUGUCUUCACACAAGGAUUAUUAUUAUUAUUAUUGUUAUUAUUUUAAGACAUGAAUGUUGAAUGAUUUUGGAAUUGUCCUUGAAUCAUGUGAAGUGUGAAUGGUCUAAUGCUGCUAAGGAGGAGGUCAAAGUGACAGAAGUAACACAGAGAACAUUUGGUGGUACAGCACAGUGGGUAAGGUUUCAUGUCAUAUUUAAAUGGCUCCUCAUAUUUCACUAGGAUUAAUUUUGCCCCUACAAACUAUUUGGCUACAAGUUAAGACAGAGUUCCAGAUGCUGAUAAAGCUGAGACAUAAGUAAUGAACGAAUUUAGACACAUGCACAACUCUUGUGUGAAACACAAUGAGAGUGGAAAAUAGCUAAGUUGAAAAAUGGCCAAAUACUAUUUUGUAGUUCCCCCUACCACUUAAGUAAUUUUUGUCAUCCUUUGUGAAUGGAAAAUGCAGUCCCUUCAGUAAUUCCAUUAUAUUCAUGACUUGGUGAAGCAUAUAACCAUUAGUGUCUUACCCUAAGUCGACCUUUAAUGAUGAUCCAUUGAGAUGGGUCUGACUUUUGUCAACCCUCUUAUUCCCUUGAUCAUAGAGGUGAAACUUAGGGGGCUUAACCCACUUUUCAAUCUUAUUGGAUAUAUGGCACGUGGUAUCCUCUUCAUCUUGAAAGAGUGAAGUGGUCAUACUCUUUCCUCUGAGUCCAUUGUGGCCAUGCACUUCAGGCUCAUUGGGCUGAGUGAAAGGAUUCCCUUCUGCUUCAAAUCAUAGAGAGAUAUGCCAUGGUCAGCCUCUUUAAUUCAAGGGAUUGAAGUACUCAAAUCCAUUUCUCUGUAUCCAUCUUAGUUCUGCAUUCAUGUCUCAUGGUUAACCAAGAAGAUCCAGCCUCCAUCCAUGAGAUCAGCAUCUGCAGGUUUAUGACACCACCCUUCCUUUGCAUAGGAAAGGGAUCAUUAAGCCAUGUGUCGGAUGACAGAAGUCAUCAUUCAGGUUAUCUUGAGAACUAAGGAAGUUGGAAUUCUAAUUAUUGCAUAUGGUUCUUGAUGUUUAGCCAAUAUACUAUAGGAUUUUAAGCAUCAUGCUCACGUGCAUUGUGGUUGCUUAUCAGCUAUAUGGUUUGCCAAAAUGAGGGACUGAUUAUGGUCAUAAGUACCUUUUUCCCAUUAAUUUCUUGCAUGUGCUCUGCUGAGAUUAUGUUUUUGACAGUCCAAAUCAGGGCAAACCAACAAACAGCUUUAUGUUAACUUUUACAAACUGCCAUAUUUUCAGGUUAAACAAACAGAGAUAAAUCUUGGUGAAACUAGAAGUAAUACAACCUGUGCUGUGGAGAUAAAAGAAAGGGCAGCAGCACUGGUGGCUGCAGAAAUUGAGGCAUGUAGAGACGAUAGAACCCCCAAGAUACCUCUUCAUGAGAAAGUCCAGAAAGAGUGGGCUUGUGCUGUGUGCCAGUUCACAACCCAAACUGAAGCGACCUUCAAUUCCCACCUUCAAGGGAAGAGACAUCAGGCCAUUUCUGAGCAGCUGAGAGCCAAAAAUCAGGCAACCAAAACCAAUUGUUCCCCAUCUGCUUCAAUGGCCAAGAAAUCUGAUCAGUCCACCAAAGAGGAGCAACCGAAGUGUACUUCCAAUCUGAAUUCCAAAAACAAUGGAAUCUCAGCUGCUUCAACAGUGAAGAAACUUGAUGAGACCAAAGAUGAUGAGCAACAAAAGUCUGCAUCUAGCAAUGGACCGAACCAGAAGAAUAACAAAAAGCAAGAGGUACAGACCAAUGAGCAAGGCCGUCAGAAGAACUUAAGGCAAACUGGUGAUGGAAUGAAAGAGUUGAGAUCAUGGUGCAAUAUCUGUAAUGUAAGCUGCACAAGGGAGCUUGACCUGGCCUCGCAUCUCAAUGGAAGGAGGCACUUUGAUAGGAUAAAGCAGCUGUCUGAAUUAUGGUGCAGUAACUGCAAUGUAAGGUGCAACAGUGAGGUUGAUAUGGCCUCUCACCGAAAUGGGAGGAGGCACUUGGAGCAGCUGAAGGAACGGUUAGGAUUAUGGUGCAGUAUCUGUAGUGUGAGUUGCAACAGCAAGGUGGACAUGGAUUCUCACCUAAAUGGGAAGAUUCACUUGGAUCAGAUCAAGGACCAGUUAAGAUUAUGGUGUGGGGCAUGUAAUACAACCUGCAAGAGUGAGCGCAACAUGGCCUUUCAUCUGAAUGGGAGGAAGCACUUAGAGAAGAAGGGGAAUACCUGAUUUGCAUGUUUCUUCAGAUUAUUGAUACUUACAAAUGGUUUUAGUUAGAAGCAUACAGGCCAGUGGGUGGUGGUCACAGAUGCCUCUAUUUUGUUGUAUGAAGUAAAAACAGUAUUUCCAUGUCCAGAAAUCAACCACUUGUUUAGUGCAUGCAUGGCUGGUUCAAAAUUAAACCUAAUUGUGAAUGACUAGGAGCAGGGAGGGAAAAAUUGAAGGGAAGAAUGUAAGAUUAUGGCUUCAUUUUUAUUUUUUCCUCUUCUGAAAAUUGUAAGAUUGUGUUAGGAGGAGCUGGAAUGGGUUCAAAUCAGGAAUUAAGACCCAGUUCCAAGACAUGGAAAGUGUCUUUAGAUUAUGUUAAGUUAUUUCCAUUUUUUUUUCUUUUCUAUUUUUUUUCUUUAUUUAUUGUAAGAGGGAGCAUAAAUGAAUUUUUAUUUUUUAUUUUUUUUUUCAGAAUAAAGAUGAAUUUGAUAAUUUCAAUUAUUGCGUUUGGAUGUAUUUCGGAACGUAAGAUUGAAAUAAUUAUUUGUUUUCAUUUUAGUGUUUGAUAAUAAUGAAAGUAUGAAUUAAAAAAUAAAUUGAUAAUAAUACUCUUACAUUUAAUUUAAAACAAUUUUUUAUUUUUAUUUUUAUUUUAGAAGAAUAUGGGUUAAUUUUAUUUAUUUAUUUUUUAAAUAAUAAGCUUAAGAAAAAUAAUUUUUACUCAAUAAAUAAAAUUAAUCAUACAAAGUCAUAAAAACCAAACCAAAAUAUAAGGGUAAAAUAGUAAUUUUAAAAUAUUCAUUUAAGUUAUCCAAAUGCAUUCCUACUCUUCAUUCUCUUGUACGAAAUACGGUCUUUAAGCGUUUGUCAAACUUAUUUCUUUUUUGGCAAUAUAUCAAUAUUUUAGUAAUAUUUUUAUCGAUUAGUUGCUGAUAUUUAUCGCCACGUCACCAAUUCUUUGAGUUUGACUUUCAAAAUUUUGAAAUGAUCAUUGAAGUCCAGUUCAGCCCAAAUCACUACACCCAUGAAAGGGAACGGCUGGGCCACCACACUAAUAUGGCCCAUACAUGGGACCUCGUAAAAGAAUACCCAUCUUCAAAAAUAGGGACCAUAUUAAAUUAUUAAUGUAGCUAUAGGAAGCAUUUGAGGACAAGGGUCAUGAUUUUUCCCUUUUCUUUUUCUCCUUAAUUUUCACAUCACCCAACAACACCACUCUUAAUUCACACAAAUUUGAAGGUUUGGAAUGAGACUUAUUCGUAUUUAUAUUGUAAUUAUGCUAUAAUAAUCGUGUCGUAUUUGGAUUUAUUUAUUAAAUCCAUCUAAAUCUUUUGUUUAUUCGUGUCAAAACAAUAUAUUUAUAAUCGAAUCCAUUUAUGACAUAUUCAUCUUUUAUAAAUUUAUUAAUUUUAUAUAUUUUAAAAUUAUAAAAAUUAAAUAUAUUUUUUCAAUUAUGAAAUCAUAUUACUAAAAUAUUAAAUAAUUCAUUAACUUGAAAUGUUUUACAUUUCAUUAAUUAUUUUAUAAUUACAACAUUAAGUGAAAUAAUAAAUAGGUAUAAAAUAUAUAUUUUAUUUUAGUUAAAAAUUAUAAAUUGUUAUUGAGACAUAUAACUAUUAAAAUUCUACCCAUUUGACUAUCAAACAAACAACUUAAGUUUUUAGUCAUGAUUUAAGCUUAUGAUAAACUCUAUUUACAAAAAUUAGAAACCAAAAUCAAAUUCUUCCUAGACUCAAAAACAUAAAGACAAUCUUUUAACUUUAGAAGACAACUAUCAUCUAAGAUAAGGGUAACUCAUCCCAUUGCAUGUACAACAAUUCUUGCUUCAAAAGCUAAUGUUAGGUACAUAUCCCUAUCAUUCAACCUUUCCCUUAGCUAAAACCCCUAUAAAGAAUUAUAAACAUGAUCAAUGGCUCCAAAAUUUAUCCACCAAGAGUUAGUGGAAUCUAACACUAAAAAUGAUUCAACUAAAAGAGAAUGAUGCAUACCUAACUGUCUCUUCAAGAACUAAGGGCAUUCCUUCUUCUAGUGGCUUUUUUUACCACAAAGGAAACACUUAUCAUGACCCUUACUCUUCUUCUUUUUCCCUUGCCCUUGAACUUUCCCUUCUGCUUGGUGAAUUCUACAAUGUUCUUCUUAUUUUGGUUAGAAGAACCUAAAGAACACUUAACUGCCAUAUAAAUACCUCUCUGGUCCUUGAGAAUUCCCUCAAUUGUUUUGUGUUCUCUCAUCAGUUCGGUUAUAGUUUAAGAAAAAAAAUGUUUUUUUUAUGUGACUAAACUUGGAAUGAAUGUCCAAGUUGCAUACAUACUCGGGCUAAGAUCAAGUCAUAACGUAGUUUAAGAAAAAAGAUUUUUUUUUUUUUUUUUUUUUUUUUUUUUUUGUGAUUGAACUUGGAAUGGAUUUCUAAGCUACUUACGUAUCCAGGAUGGGAUCAAGUUCUAACAUAGUCACAAUGCAGUUCAAGAAUUUUUUUUUUCUUUUUUUGUGCUCUAACUUUUGCCAAGACUAAAGAUCUUAAUUUUGCGAGCAUGUUCUAACUUUUGCCUAGGUCGCCUUUCCAAGUUUUCAAUUUAGCAAACAAGGUUUUUUUUUUCUUUUUUUUCUUUUUCUUUUUUUAGUUCUCUAACUUUUGCCAAGACUAAAGAUUUUAAUCUUGGAAGCAUGUCUUAACUUUUACCUUAAGUCGAAUUUUUAGGUUUUCAAUGUGGUGGAUUUUUUUUUUUUUUUUUUUUUUUUGUGUCGUAGGUAAUUUAAGCUCAUAUGGAUUGGAAGCAAUGUGUAGUUUGUUGGGAUUAAGCCCUUAAAAGCAAGACAUGAUGUAAUAAAGUUAAACUUAACUAUUUCCUUACUAUCUUUUUGGUGUAUCAACAUUGAUUUAAACAUUCAACCCAUAUCUCUUACAUUGUACAUGAUUUAGGAGCAUUAAGAGUUGCACAAAAGAUACAAGUUAUGGGUUCCUUGUAAGUAGAUGAGUUAUCCAUAGUCAUUUCAUGGAUUUGGGCAAUCUAGUAGUGACUAUAGUGCACCACCUCCUAAUUUAAGGGAUGACUUGUCUUGGCAGUUGGGAUGAGUUUCCUAUGGUGAGCGUACUAGUGUAAAUGAUGCACAUUGGACAGGACCUAUGGUGAAUCAUGACGCAAGGCUAUCAAUUGUCAUGAUUCACCAAGUUACUAUACUACAUGGACUCUCAACCUUGAGAGGACAUUGAACCCAUGUCAAAAUCAAUAGAAAGUUUUGACCUAUGGGCGAGACCCUAAAGUAGUCAUAUAUUCCUAUGGAUUAGGUCAUUGUUGAUGUAGGCUGGUUAUAAUAGGCAUUCUCAAUAGAGGCACCAUGAUAUGUCAUGGGAUUGAGAUGGUGUGUCCCUUUGGGUGAUCCAAAGAACAUGUGAUCAUGAAAUUUGUGGCCACAGUAAUUCCUUUAGUGAAAUUUGACAUAUGCUCCUUGGAGUUAGAGUAUGUCAAUUGAUCACAUAAUAAGUGAGAUCUAUAACUCAAGGAUUUGAGAGAUAAUAUUGAUAGGUGAUAACACUAACUUGUUAGAUUUAGACACCAGUUUCAUGAGGAAUAUGCAUGUAGUGGAUAGUAGGUCAUGAAUGCGAGCUUUGUCUCGUUGUUAUUUACAUAAGGUACCGGAGUGUAGUUGAUUCUCUUUAGUAGAGUGUUGAAUCAACUUCAAAAUUGGAUUAUGAGGUAGUCAGUACUCCUAUGGGUCUCAAUGGUCCCCACUCUGAGCUAAUAUACCAUGAUGACACAAUUUAUGAGGGUUGGAUUGACUUUAGGUUCAUUCUUAUGCAUAAGGGCAUUUUGAUAAUUACACAAGGUUGCAUAGGGGAUAAUAAAUAAGGUCUCUAGAUUGGACUAAUUGAUUAAUUAGAUGGCCUUAUGUGGUUAAUUAAUCAAUUAAGACAUGUUAGGGCUAGAUUAAGUGACCCAAGCCUUGAUGGGUUCAAGUCACUUAAGCCUAAUGGGUAACCGUAUAAAUACCUCCUUAUGGGUUAGGGUUUUCUAAUGACUUUUAGUUAGUCAUCUUCCACUUUUAGAAAAAUAGAGAGAGCCAAAGCUUCCUCCUUUCCACUGCCCACACUUUGGUAUGCCAAGAUCGGGAAUCGAGUCAUCGAACAAAAGAUCUUAGGUGUACGAGACCUUUGAACUCUUUAGGCUUCUUCUUCGUUGGAUGGAUUUUGAUCUGGGAACAUCUAGAUCACAUGUAUGUGUUAUAAUAUUUGGUUAAUUCAACCUAAGGUAAUCACCCUAGAGAAGGGGUGAAUAGGGUGAUGAUUUUUUUUUGCAAAUUUAAAUUAUGUGAAUGCAAGAGACAAUUAUAUGCAAAAUAUAUGGCAAAACCAUAUAAAAACAAUUGCAUAUAAAGUAAAAGGUUAAGGAAGAGAGAAUAUAAACACAAGAUUUUUAUAGCGGUUCAGUGCAACCCGACCUCCAUCCAUUCUCUUCUAGCUUCAAUACUAAACUUGAGGUUCCACUAAUUCAAGGCUUCCAAUCCAAGCCUUCAAGUAAUACAAUUGGAUUAUGGUUCCAAUCAAACCUCUUGAAAUUUUAGUUCUAAACACAUUUUACAAUCUUCAAGAGAUACCUCACUCUUGAACAACUCCUUAAGUGAUACCUCACACUUGAGAAUCCCUAAGUGAUACCUCACACUUAGAUUUUUCAUCUCAAAGAUUUAUCCGCUCUGCACCCACCUCCCGAGUAUAUGCUUCAACAGGAAUCACACAAGGGUAGAUUGAUACAAUAGAAACCUCUGGUAAAAUGCCCGCUCGUAACCCAGCAGAUAAAGUACAUUACAUAGUCCGUUUUAGGGAUUGGCUACUUACCCAUUCAGUGACUUUGGCACUGGACGUUCCCAAAAUGGGUACUAUCGGGUCGGGUGAAUUCAAUAAUAGACGCCUGUUGGCAUUCCAGCCUUCCUUCUCCUUUCAGGGCCUAUCCGAAAGAGAAUCCAGUACUUCUUGGUCAAAUGAAGAUAGGAAAUUAUUAGCCUAAGGACUCUCCUAAUCGGGUUUUGAUGAUAACAAACCAUGAUUAAAUGACUAAUUGGUUUAAUGGUUAAGAAUCUCAAGCAUAAACUCGAAAAUUCAUCAAAUGACCAAAUGGAUACAAGAUCGAGACAUUUGGAAGACUUGUGAUCAUAGGAAACUAAUGUAAGAUGAAUGCAUGAGUGCACUUAGGAUUUUCAUACCGUUUCAUACAAUUUAGAAAACUCAGUUUAUUCUUUAAAACUUCAAUUUCAUUAAAACCCGAGUUUUAACAAUUGUACCUCAGGCAAAAUGUUUUAAAAUUGGCAUAAUAAUUCACCUAAAAACCUUGCCUAAGUGUUAGGAAAGAAAGGAAUUGAAAAAGAUAGGUUUUCGGGGCCAAAAGGCUCAACCGGUCGAGGCUAUGGCCAACCAACUCAACCGGUUAGGGAAUCGGUCGACUGGUUACCCUUGUCCAGUUGAGGUCCGAUCGAAGGAUGCACAAAAUUUUCUCUCUCUCCCAGUAGCCUUCUCUUCCCGGUUGAGGUUAUUCUCUUCCCUGUCGAGGUCCGGUAUAGGCAACGGUAACCUGUCAAGCAUUAAAUGCUCCAACGGCUAGCGAACCGGUCAACCCCUAGCUCGACCGGUCAAGGUUACCUUUUGUUGUUUUUGACUCCCGAGCUUAGAAACCUAUAAAUUGAGAGCUCCACUUCAUUUAUUGACGAGAUAACACUUGCAAUCAAUUGUCUACCUAUUUGUUCUUGAUCAGAAAGCUCUCAUUUCUUUCUUAGUACAUUAAAUCAUCACUUGCAUAUCCUUUAGUGCACUCUUGUGUGUCAUCCUAGAUUUGUCUUGUAUUUGAGCUAUCUUUAAGCUAGGUUGAGGGAUUCAUUCUUGUAAAAACCGAGUGUUAAAGCCUUCAAGAAGUUUAAAUCUUGAAGAGAUUGUGUAAGAGUCCAUUGGAGCCAAAAUCCAAGUGUAAGAAGAUUGGAAGUUUGGUUGAAGUUUCAAGUUAGUGGAACCUUCACUCGGUUAGGAGAUUGAGGAGACUGAACGUAGGCAAAGAAGUGUCGAACUACUAUAAAACCCGAGUUUGAAUUCUCUAACUCUAGCUCUUUAUUUUGCUUAUAUUGUGCUUGAACUCGUUGUGAUUUAAAAGAAUUUAAAAAACCCCUAUUUGGGUGUUUUUCUUAAUUAAGCAUAGCCUUUAUUUUCUCAUAAAUAAUCUUACAAAAUCUUAGUACAAACUUUAGCCUUAAAUGAUACAAAAUAAACUAGGAUUGAAUGGUGCACUAAUGAUAUGUAAGUUUUAAAACAAUGUGUACAAAAAACACUCCCCUAAAGCUCAAAUAUAUUCGAGAAAGGUUUAAGAAGGUUAAACUCUUGAAACAAUAAAUAUUGAAACCUUUUUAUAGAAGAGAAAAACCAAACUACCUGUUGGGGAUUCGUUCGAUCAAGCUCUGGUUCGACCAGUUCACUAGCCUUUAGCAUUUAAUGUAUGAUAGGUGACCAUUGGACCUUGACUACCCCUUGAUUGGUACUCGACCGGAUGAAGUUCAACCUUGAUUGAUCGAAUAAGCAUUCUGGAAGAGAGAUAAGGUUUUUGCACCUUUCAACCGAGUAAGCUGAAUAGGUCGACUAAUUUCUCAUUCGAUUCAACCGAUUGAGUCAUUUUUUGCUCAACAACUAUUAUUUUCAACUUAAAACCUUUUAAACAAGUUUGGAAAGCAUUUGACAUAAGGUUUUAGUUGAAAACAUGAAAUCAUCCAAUUUUUAAAAGAUUUAAAACAAAAUAACUCUUGAAUGAUUUUGGUGUAUAAGUAAAGAAUGUAAUGCAUGAAAAACCCAAUGCACCAACAACCUUACAAAGAGAUCCUAUGAGUCUUAGGUCUUGAAAAACACUUAUCUUUAAGGUCUUCUUCUUCUUAUUGAUUUUAUCUUUGUGAUUGCCACUUUGGAAAUCAUCUUGCCUAGUCACACUUAAAAUAUAAUCAUUAGUUCUAAAUCUUGUUUUGUUAUCAUCAAAACUAAGAUUAACCAAACCUUGGUUUCACAAUAUGAAUAUUGUAUCUCUAGAUCUAUAGUUAAUAGUGGUUUUUAUAGUCAUUUGUUUCCAUUGCGAUAAAUUUAGAGAAGCUUAGGGAUAGAUGAAUGCACCCUAUGAGAUCUAGGGCAUAGGAAUGGAGUAAUCCGGGGUUCCUAACAUAGUUUAGGCUUGUGCUUCAUGGAGUGAUAACAAUUCUUCAAGCAUAGUUAUGCUUUAGAAAUUUGUUAUUGAUUGGUCCAAUUUUUAGACCAUCUUCAGCAACAAUCUUGUGUGCACCAUUGAUAUAAUCUUGUUAUACAAAAUAUGAUCUAUCACAUUUUUGGCAAGAACUUUCCACUGGUUUUGUGCAUGGUAAUGAUCAUGCAUGCAAACUUAACUAAGUUAUACACUAGAUGCCAAACUACUACAAUUCUUAUACACCUUCCCGUUUUGUGCAACUGAACAAUUCAACAUCAUAACACCAAAGUUCUUGCUUAGAUUUCCUACAGUGCUAAAAUUUUGAAAUGAUUAAUUUGUUUAUUUUUCUUUCAAUCCCAAGACCCACAUACAUCAUGUCAUGCCCUAAGACCCACUCUAAGGGCAUGACAAUCAUUUCACAUCUCAAGGUCGAAAGCUCAAAGUGUAAAUUGACCUUAACAUUCAUUUUGUAACUGGAAAAUUAUCAAUUACCAAAUUCAUAUUUAUAGUAGUAGAAUAAAAUUCUACAAGUUUCAAAUCUCAACUUUAAAGUUAACACAUCAACUAAAGUGUUAUUGUCCAAACAACUUCAAACUUAACAAUUCAAGCAAUCAUUAAAUUCUAACUUUCAAAAAAUAUUUUUUAAAAAUAAAGAUUUAACGAAAAGUCUUAGUAUUGCCAAAAUCUCAUCCUAACCUUCACUCCUAGCCUGAAUUAAGGUGCCUAAAAAAUUGUCAAUGAAAGGAAAUGAGAUCAACGCUCAAUAAGGAAUAUUAAUAAGGUUUCAUGGAUCAAACAUUUUUAAUUAUAAUUCCAAAUAGGAGAUAUAAUAUAUAAUCAUUUUCAUAAGAAAUUUUGAGUUUAAAUAUAAUAAUAUAUUGAAAACUUUUCAGCUAAACAUUUUCAUAUCUAUGUCAAAACAAUUUCAUAUCAAAUUCAAAUCAAAUAUAUACAAAAUAUUUUUACUUUGGUUAUCAAAUGUCACAUGGUGUCAAGUUAGGUGGGACUUUACAAAUUGGUGUCUAACCUCAAAUUUUUUCCUUUCAAGGUGGACGAAACCAAACACUACUAGUAUUAUUAACAUCUAACCAAAUCCCUAAAGGGUGAGAUCUAAAGCAAUUACAUUCUCCGCCAAGAAAUAUAAGGUCAACAAUUAUAACUCGUUGACUAGGGACAAAAAUAAACUAGAGUCAAACACCUUAUUUCAUUAAUUCAAACUUGCAAAACAAAAACAUCAUAUCUCCAUAAUUUUCAUUUUUUAUAAACAAAAGAAAUGUUCUAACAUAGUUUUUUCAUGAAAAAUAUAUAUUUGAUCCAUGCAUAAAAAUAAAAAUAAUUUUUUUAUUAUUCAAAAUAACAUAUAAAAAUAAAUAUGUUCUUUUGGCCAAAACAUGUAUUAAUUUUUCUUACCUCAAAGAAACACUCAAAGACCUUGAAGCAAUUAAUCCUAAAGAAUUUCACCCCAAAAAACAUAUUUCACACCUUACUAAAAAAAAAAAAACAAAACAAAAAAAUUACUAUUGAUUAUUUAUCUAAUAAUAGUUUUGUAUUUUAUAUCACCUAUAUUAUUUUUAACUUCCUAAUAAAUAACAAUUUAAUAAGCGAUUUUCCAAAUUUUUAAAAGUUAUGUUCUUUCCAAAAUUUAUUCAUAAUAUUCUAUUAUUAUUAUUAUUAAUUAAAUCUCUCAAAAAUAUGUUUUUUCUAUUUAUUGCAUUAAACUAUUAUUAUUAUUAUUCAAUUUCAAUUUGAUUAAUUGGUUUUUUCUUUUAAAUUCCUAAUUUAUAUAAGAUUCUUGUUUUGAAAAUCUUCCAUAUUUACUUAUUUGUUUAAAGUAAAUUUCUCCAAAACUUGUUCCUUUUGGUUAAACAAGUAUCUUUUCCUAUUAUUAUUAUUAUUAUUAUUAUCCCUAAUAUUAUAUUCAAAUAACUAAACAAUAAUAAUUUAAAUUAGUGAGUUUCCAAAUUUUUAUAAAACUCAUAUUCAUUCUAAAUCUUAUCAUAUAUAUCAAUUUCUUUUAUAUACUUAAAUUAAAUUAAAAAAUUUACUUAAAAAAUAUAUAUAUUAUAUUAUUACUUUCAACAUCCUUCUACCACCCAAACAAUUACUUCAAGUAAAAGUCAUAUAUCCUUAUUCUACUAACUAUCCUCUCUCUUGCAAUAGCACACUUAGGGAUGGCAAUGGGGUGGGUUCGGGAUGGAUCGCCCCUAUCCCAACUCCUCCCCAUUUAUUCAAAAUAAUUUUCAUCCUCGUCCCAUUUAAAAAAUUAAAUGAGGCAGGGCGAGUAUGAUAAAUUCUCAUAUUCGCCUCGCCCCGCCCCGUUUAACUCUUUUUUGAAUUUUUUUUUAAAAUUACUUUAAAAAUUUUUAAUUACAUUAAAAUAAAUAUAUUUUAUAAAUAAUUAAAUUAUUAUAUUUUUUAUAACUUAUUUUAUUAAAAAUAUUUUAUUAUUAUCUAUAUAUUAAAAAUAGUAAAAUAAAAAUUAAAUUAAAUUAAUUUUAUAUAUAAUUGGGGUGGGACGGGAUGAGGCAAUACCCAAACCUGCUCCGGGUUUUAAAAAAAAUUCUCAAACCUAUCCCAAACCCGUUUAUUAAAAUUAAAUCUCGUCUCAUUAGGGACGAGGCGAGUACCUGAAAAAACCUGCCUCAUUGCCAUCCCUAGGCAAACUUUCAUUUUUUUUUUUUUUUUUAUCUUUUUCCUCCUUAAGAUCAAUCCUAUUGUAAGCACCCUUUUUUUUUCUACCACAUCUUGUUGCAAGCAACCUUGUAAGUUUUUUUAAUUUAAAUUUUUUUUCCACUAUGGAGGCACGUACAACCAUAAAACCUCCUCUUUUUUUUAUUUUAUUUUUACAACUCUCAAAUCUCUCAACCUCCAUACUAUUAGGUUUUAUUCAUUUAUUUAUUAUUAUUAUUAUUAUUAUUAUUAUUCCAUAUCCAAAACUAUAAUUAAUUUUCUUUUAUAUUUUUUUAUUUUAGAUCUAUUAAUUUGAAUAUUCGAAAUUUUCUAAUCUUACUAAUAACUCUAAACGUUCAAAACUAAUUAAUGAAUAUAAAAUAUUAAUCUAAGGAUUAAAAUCUUAUAUAGAAAAUUGAUCUUUAAAUCCUAAACUCCCAAAUUUUCAACCUUACGUUGCCCUAUGUUGUCCAAUCUCUUAGAUCUCCAUGUAAAAGGGUUUUUUUUUUUAAUAGAGUAAAUAAGAAAAAUUUAAUUUAUACCUAAAAUUUUAAAAUGGAGAAAAAUCUUUCUACCCUUAUUAAUUUAAUUAAUUUUUUUAAAUUAUGUUUUUACCCUUGAAUUGGGUCUGGGCAUCACACAUCAUACUAAAAAGUUAUCAAUAACCAUCCUUUGAGGCACAUUAGCAUAAAUUUGCGACUUUAGUUGUGUUCUAGGUGCAAUUCUAUUAUGUUUAAUUGAAAAAUAACACCCAUAGCACAACCAAGCCUAAUUGACAGCAUUUGGGCAAAUAAAUGGUAAAUUUCUAAAAGUUCACCAAAAAAAAAAAAAAACAAAAAAGAUCAUAAAGGGCAUAUUUUUCAAGUCAACCUAGUUUUGGGAUAUUGCAAUCCAAUCUAAGAAUGCAAUAAUAGCUCUUUAAUUCAUAAUUUUAAAUUCACAAAAGAUAUCACCUAAAAUUACUAUAGGUUACCAAAACAUCAACAACAUAUAGAAAGCUUAGAAAUGCUUGGAACCUAUCGAAUUUUCACUUUUUAGGAAUAAAAAAAAAAUGAACUUUAAGGAUUUUAGGGUAAUACUUGCUUGAACCAUCUUUCAAUCCUUUUGUUGGCGGUGGGCCUUUUACCUAUAAGAACAGGAAUGAGAGGUGAAAAGGAGGGAGCCUUAUGAAAACGGAUCCCUAGGGCUUAAGAAGGGGUUUUCAAUUUUAGGGUUUGUCUGUUCACCAAGGAUGUGAAUGGGAAGAUGAGGUGAAGUUAAGAGAUUGGUGAAGCAAAGUGAGGGCAUGGUAGGGUUUGAAUAAGGGAAAGUCUACACUAUUAAUGAAGAUGAUAAUCUUUAGAAAGCAAAGCUAAGGUAAACUAGGGCUUUAACAACAAUUUUCGAUCUACACUAGUGAAGACGAUAUCUUCGAAAACCAAAGCUAAGGCAAGCUAGGGCUUUAAUAACGAAUUUCAAUCUACAAUGGUGAAGAUGAUAAUCUUCGAAAACCAAAUCUAUAAUGGUGAAGAUGAUUAAAAACUAAAUCUAUAUUGGUAAAGACGAUUGGAAAGCAAAUCUACACUAGUGAAGUCAACGAAACCAAAGGUAGGUAAAAAUAAUAAUAAUAAUAAUGCAUUCUUAGAUCCAAAUCACCAUUUCCAACAUGGUAUUUGGAUUUCCACCUUGUAUUUUUUGUUUUUAAUUUUUUCAAUAAUCAAGGACAUUUUAGGGAUUAUUAAGUGACAAUAUUCUUCAACUCAAUUUCCCACAUUAGUUAGGUGUAAGGCUCAAAUGUGAAACUCAUAUAGAUGUUAGGCCAAUCAUCAAACUCAUUUGCCUUGAAGCAUAAUUUCCCCUUUUUAAAAUAGUUGUUAAACAUCUAUCCCCAACACUUGUAACCCUUUGAAGUGCUUGUAUGUUAACCUUGUUUCCUUUUUCUCAUGAAACAUGGCUUAUUGAUUGUUGCAUUGAGUCAUUAUCAUUCACCAAAUCCAUGCAACUAUGAACUACCUUUCAAAUCCCUCGAACAUAAAUGGUAAUUCCAAAACAACUCAAGUAUAAUCUUUCCAAGCCCUUCAAAUGAUUUAAUUAAUUGAUGUUUGAAUAUACUUCAUAUAUUUUUUUAGAGCAAUUUUUUAGGCAUAUAACAUAAAUCUCUAAUUUCAUUUUAUUUUUUUUAUAAAAGGUUUUAUAUUUUAUAUUACAAUUUCCUCUCUUUUUUUUCAUCUAAAAAAAAAAACAUAAAACCUUCGUAAACGAGUUUUGUCACAAUCCCUUAACAGGUAAUCUAUUUUUAAAAAUUACUUUAACAUUUUUAGAUAUAUUGAUUCAGUCUAAUUUAAUUUUAAUAUUUUUUAUAAAAUAUUUUUAUUUUAUAUGAUUAUAAAUUAAUUACUAUUGAUUGCAUAUUAUAGAAUAUAUAUUCUAAAAUAUAUCCUAUUCACAAUAAUAUCAUAAGAUAUUAUAUCCAUAUCCUAACAUAUUAUAUACUUUUAUUUUGUGCAAUUAGCAACAGGGUGGAAGACGGCUUAGGCGGGAGACGGCUUAACGGAAAUGCCGUCUGCCAUGCGUGUCCCUUCCCUUAGUGAGUCUGAACAGCUCCAACAUUUCCGACACGCCCUUCUUCGCUUAGCUCUUAAGUAUUUUCGUCCCGUUUUCAUUAACCCCAUCACAUUUCGCCAUGUGGAUCUAAGCCUCAUGGUCCUUUCGUUCGUACGAUGAAUAUUCCCCCAAUUCCUUAUCUACACUAAACCUCCAUACUCGCCAUCUACUCAACCACUUCUCUACUCUAGAGUCUGGAUCCUUUAUCUCUGCACGUGUCUAUGGCUCUUCACCCCAGCAAGUAUGGCAUUACAAGGGCAAUAUCGUCAUUAAAGACCCAAAAGGCAAACGAAUGGCAUUAUCUCCCUUUUGGGUCUAUUCUAUUUAUAUUGUAAGUUUUUCGUGAUGACUUCUCUCAUAACAGCUAAAAACCACUCCAACAGAGCACACUUCACUUCUUCGUUUUUGUCUUUCCUCUUUUUUUUUUUUAGAGAAGCUGAGAAAGCCCAGCUCGCCCUCAACUCCCCGAUGGGUUUGAUGAAUGUUCUCAAAUUCUCAGCUGCAUGCUUUGAUCUUCUUGGUUGGUAUGUUGUCUACGCAUUUUCUCGUCAUUGGAAAAUUUUGGAAAAUGAAGUGGAAUUCUAUGUUUGAGGAGAAACUGGGAUUUGCUUUGAUUUCUCCAUGUUGGUUUUAUCCCUUUUGUUUGAAUUGUCCAGAUUCUUGUCAUUGAUUGUUAGUUAUUUGUUUGGAUUUCUACUUGCAGGCCUCUGUUUGCACUGGGUUAUCCUCUGUAAGUCUUGGUCUUACACCCCAAGAUAUGAUGGUUCAUUUACUCUUUUCUUGUUCUAUGAAUUCUUAGUUCAGUUACAUUUAUUGGGUUGGGAAACUGAAAAGGGAAAGGAUUAUUAGUUAUUAUCAUAAUAAUCAUCAAUAUCAUCUCGGUUCUUCACAGAUGUGCUUCAAUUCGGGCAAUUGAGACUAACUCAAUCUCAGACGUUCGGAAGUUGGUGGCGUAUUGGGUUCUAUUUUCCUUGAUUUCACUCUUUGAUCAUACUUUUGCCAAGCUCCUUGAAUGGUAAUUUUGCUCAACUUCAUUCUUUGCCCUUCAGGAAUUUGGAGUUGCUUUUUUCAGUUUUCUUCCUUGUGACAAUAAUCGAGAUGUUUAAUGUUCCAGGCCUCCAUGUAUUUUAUUUUCCUUCACUUCUCUGCUUUGAAAAAUGCCCACAAUCUGAUCAACAGAAAGGUUAUAACAUUUGAAAAAGAAAUGCUUUGUUUUGGUUUUUUAAGUGCAACAAUUUUCAUUUGGAGAAAUGAUCUAAAGGGUAUUGGUGUUUGGCCGAAUUCAUGGAAUUUUCUCGCUAAUUUGGGAUUUAUUCUCAAUUUCAAGAUCACUGUGGAUAUUUCAGAAAUUAAUGAAAUAUAUAUGAUGGAAUGUGAUUUUCUUGUUUAAGAAAAGUUUUUCUUUGAAAAUGUGGGUGACCCCAACCUACCUUAUUGUACUACUUGGAACACAAAACAAAAGUUUUUCUCGCUAAUUUAUUAACUAAAUUGCACACUUUUUGAUAGUUCAAGGAAGUGGUGUCAGCUUUGGAAAUAAGAUGGAUGAUUGUAGGGAACUUUAUUUCUCAUCUUUAUAGGGAACUUUCCAUAAUAUAGCUUAUAAAUAUCAUAAUCACAGUGAUGAAUGAUUGUCUUGUUUGAAAGCAUGGUUGCACUUAUUUCCAGGGAAUUUGUCUGCGUUGAAAUUAAAUUAAGCUUUAUGCAUCAUUUGGAUGCUGGGAAACAAAUGGAAAUAGAAAAUUCAGAAUCUGACAAGUUUGUGUAGGGCAACUGGAUCUAAUCUCUUAGUCGAAGCUUAAUAGGGGCAAAUGCUGAUCAUCUUUGAACCUAUUGAAGGCUCUAAUCUGUGCACAAUUCUAAUGUUUUUGUUUUCUUCAUUUCUUUUUCAACUUUUCAUAAUAGAUGUCAAAAGUUAAAACCGAACUUACGUAGUCCAUCCAAGUGGAUGCAUAUAAAUUUAACAGAAACUGAAAUUUGAAGAAAUUUAUUUUCCCUUUUGUAAAUGGUGUUUAAAAAGUCUGUGUGUAGUUUGGUUUUUUUCCUGGAAGAUCAGAUGAUUUCGUGAUCAUUUUUUCUAUUUGCCUUAUCAUCAUGAGAUUUAAGUAUUUUUUUUAAAAAAAUAUUUUAUUUUCUUAUAUAAUGCAUGUCAGGAUACCAUUCUGGCCUUACAUAAAGCUGAUGGUCAUCUGCUGGCUGGUGAUACCGCAUUUUGAUGGUUCCUAUUAUAUCUAUCAAUACCUAGUUCAUCCACGCUUGUCCAUGGAUCCACAAGUUGUCAUGAAUUGGCUCUUCAAUGAAUCAAAAAAGAAGUUUCAUAGCAGAGAAAACUUUCUUGUUUCAGCAGACCAAUAUAUUAAGGAGAAGGGACCUGAAGCUUUGGAGAAACUACUUGCAAGGAAGGUAUGCCAUUAUAAGUAGGAUUGUCAACAAGUCAAAUAGAGUUUUAUUUGAGAUGUUCAAGUAAAAAAUUACUAUAGCAGGUCAUCUAGAAUUAUUGGUCUAAAUUCAUGUAUAUAUCUAUAUAUAAUUGUGUUCUCUUUUUUUCACAUAUGCAUGUGCAUUUAGAUUUACGUAAUUAUAUAUGCAUAAUCAGAUUCAACUGUGAUAGCCCAGGAUUUAAUUCAGUAAUCAACUCUUCUGGGAACAUGUUGGUUAUGGUUUCUCUCUCACUGUCCUCUUAUUUAUACAUGACUUUGGCUUCAGUUGAGGAGCACAAAGCCUAAUGUUGAAGUGAAAGAGAUCAAAGGACCUGCAGCACCGGAGAAAAAAGGGGAACAGGUAUGCACUCUACUAUUUUAUUUCUAUGGAGGCAGAUCUCCAGAGAAAUGUUGCUCAUGUAAAUUAGUGAUGCAUUUAAAAGAAAAACCACUUUAUGUAUGUUUCUGUGAAAAAGAGAACAAGUUUAUGGAUUAAGUGAUAUUUUUUAUGGUGAAAUAAUCAAUAAUUUUCAAAAUAAUAAUAUAUUCGUGCAUGUUUUUGCAAUUCAUGAAUUCCUUUUACGAUUGAUUCUUCUCACCUCAGUGGAAGUGUGAAGAGCCUAAUGUUGCAGAAAAGGAGAUCCAAGUAGUCAAAGUAACAGACAUAAAAAAUGGGGGGGAUGGAGCAAAGAGGGUAAGUUUUCCUUUUUAUUUAUAAGGAAGGCUGUCUUCACGCAAGGAUUAUUGUUAUUAUUUUUAAGACAUGAAUGUUGAAUGCAUUUGGAAUUGUCGUUGAAUCAUGUGAAGUGUGAAGGUGCAAAUGGUGCUAAGAAGGAGAUCAAAGUGAUGGAAGUAACACAGAGAACAUUUGGUGAUACAGCACAGUGGGUAAGGUUUCUUGUCAUACUUAAAUGGCACCUCAUAUUUCACUAGGAUUAAUUUUGGCCUACAAACAUAUUUGGCUACAAGUUGAAGACAGCUUUCCAGAUACUGGUAAAAGUUGAGACAUAAGUAAUGAAUGAGUUUAGAAACAUGCACAACUCUUGUGUGAAACACAAUGAGAGUGGAAAAUAGCUAAGUUGAAAAAUGGCCAAAUACUAUUUUGUAGUUCACCCCACCACUUAAGUAAUUUUUGUCAUCCUUUGUGAAUGGAAAAUGCAGUCCCUUCAGUAAUUCUGCAUAUAACCAUUAGUGUCUUGUCCUAAGUUGACCUUUAAUGAUGGUCCAUUGAGAGGGAUCUGACUUUUGUCAACCCUCUUAUUCCUUUGAUCAUAGAGGUUAAACAUACGGGGCUUAACCCACUUUUCAAUCUCAUUGGAUAUAUGGCAUGUGGUAUCCUCUUCAUCUUGAAAGAGUGAAGUGGUCAUACUCUUUCCUGAGUCCAUCGUGGCCAUGCACUUCUGGCUCAUUGGGCAGAGUGAAAGGAUUCCCUUCUGCUUCAAAUCAUAGAGAGAUAUGCCAUGGUCAGCCUCUUUAAUUUGAAGGAUUGAAGUACUCAAAUCGAUUUCUUUGCAUCCAUCUUAGUCCUGCUUUCAUGUCUCAUGGUUAACCAGGAAGAUCAAGCUUCCAUCCAUGAGAUCAGCAUCUGCAGGGUUAUGACACCACCCUUCCUUGGCAUAGGAAAGCGAUCAUUAAGCCACAUGUCGGAUGACAGAAGUCGUCAUUCAGGUUAUCUUGCGAACUAGGGAAGUUGGAAUUCUAAUUAUUGCAUAUGGUUCUUGAUGUUUAGCCAAUAUACUAUAGGAUUUUAAGCAUCCUGCCCAUGUGCAUUGUGGUUUUUUAUCAGCUAUAUGGUUUACCAAACUGAGGGAUUGAUUAUAGUCAUAAGUACCCUUUUCCCAUUAAUUUCUUGCAUGUGCUUUGCUGAGAUUAUGUUUUUGACAGUGCUAAUCAGGGCAAACCAACAAACAGCUUUAUGUUAACUUUUACAAACUGCCACAUUUUCAGGUUGAACGAUCAGAGAUAAAUCUUGGUGAAACUAGAAGUAAUACAACCUGUGCCGUGGAGAUAAAAGAAAGGGCAGCAGCACUGGUGGCUGCAGAAAUUGAGGCAUGUAGAGACGAUAGAACCCCCAAGAUAC
Molecule: long non-coding RNA, 54979 nt
Filed under: Vitis vinifera (wine grape)
Lineage: Eukaryota; Viridiplantae; Streptophyta; Magnoliopsida; Vitales; Vitaceae
Description: long non-coding RNA (VVIN_LNC000787)
Source: RNAcentral